This 50407-nucleotide long non-coding RNA is filed under the name Aquilegia coerulea. RNAcentral's name for it is "long non-coding RNA (ACOE_LNC001604)". Lineage: Eukaryota; Viridiplantae; Streptophyta; Magnoliopsida; Ranunculales; Ranunculaceae. The record is from RNAcentral.
UCUCUAAAGUAAGUCUUUUAUCCACAAGAUCUUGAUAUUCUUCAGUCCAACACCUUAGGUUGUCCUUCAUGAUCGAAACUGCCCAUUGAGCACGUGUUUUUGGUCCCAAAUUUCCAUCUACAUUAUAUUGUACAGGGUUCAUAAAUGUCAAAGCUUCCAUGAUCAAGCCAACAUAAAUAGUACAAUCAUUAGUUUGACCCUGUCGUGGUGUUAUAGCUUCUUCCAAUGGCAGAUCCAACCUUAGUGGUUCGUUUUCCAGCUCCAUCUUAAAUCUUUUGUUGAUUAGGAGAACAAGAUGGUUCUUCUGUUUUUCAAGCAAAAUUAAUAUGUUAUCAGCUUUUGUUUUCUUAGAAAAAUAAAAUUAUAAACACAAAUCAAUAUGUUAUCAACAUAAACCUACACUGGACAUAGUGACUGAUAACAUGAUGUUAUCAGGGAAACCAAAACUGAUAACAUCAUGUAAUCAGUGAAACCUACACUGGCCAUAGUGACUGAUAACAUGAUGGUAUAUGAUAAGAUACCAAACAAAAAAGAGCUCAUAAAAUGAUGUUAUCAAGGACAACUAUCGUGAUAUCAUCAUGUUACCAGCUUUGGUUUUCUUACAAACAAAAUAAUAAAGAGGUUAUAGUCUUACCCAGGCAAGGUUAUAGUCUUAAUCUUCUGUGUUGGAAUACUCAGCAGUCUCUGGCCACUUCCUGUGAAAAUACUGCAGACAAGAUGAAGAAAUGUUGGUCAAUAUUUGAUUACUAAAGUAAUUUUAAAUCCAACGUAACUCUUUGCAGAGAUUGUCAUGAGAUAAUUUCUUGUUUACAAAAGUUAAAAUCCAGUUAAAGGGUUGGUCCUAGGCAGAGAGCAUAUAUAUGUCGCACUGUCACUUUGUCUUUGAACUUAGUUUGCACAAAUGCAAUUCUCUUAAAUGGGUUGCUUAUUAGCAACCUAAAGUCAAAGAUACUCACUAUGCUGUAUAUGUACAACAGAAUCAAAGGUGAUGUAGCUAUGGUCAGAUACAGAGAUUCUCUGAAAAUGUCAGAAACAGGUCUGAAUUCUGAACAUAACAAAGACUAGAAAAAAGAAUCAAACUAUGAAAUUAUUGUCAAACACAGUUUAUAUAUAAUGUCUGUGACUCAAGAUUGUUUUUUUGGAAAAAAUGAUGUGUUAAAGUUUCUUGACCACAGAUUGUUUAAUCAGUUGUGUACACUUUGAAAUCACAUUUGCAGAACUGCUGGAAAUGCAGAGUACUGCACUUGAGAUAGUUUGUCAUACUGUACACAUUUCUAUAUCUUAUGGACUGUCUGGAAAGCUAGGAAUGAUAGUUGGUUAGUUACAUGGGGGACAGCCUAUAAAAACUGUAAACGUAUUCAACACAAACGGAUUACUGGUCCGAGAAAUGUAGUGUCUUCAACAGUGACUGUAUAGUAGUCUUAUUCUACCAGAAAAAUAAAUUCCAAGUCAACAGAUCAACAACCAUGGGACAGAGAACCAAAGAAAUGAAUGAAAAUAGAACAAGUUCACAACACAGCAUGCACAAAUUUUCAAGAAGUGAUACGGAAAUUGAGUCUAUUGCCUAAAUUUCAAGAACAAUGGAUUGAAGCUCAUGUGGGAGACGGAGAACCUGAUAUAAAAAUGCGAAAAGCAAGUCUUAUGAACAAACCUCGAGGCCAAUGGAUUGAACUUGUAGCUGGAGAAAUCUAUACAGACCAUUGUUUUUCUAUAAAGAAACAUAUUUGUUUUUCUCUCAGUGAAUACCAAGGAGGAAAUUGGAAGUCCGGUCUUCUAAUGAAAGGUGUUGUUCUUCGUCCAAAGAAACGUAUGUGAAUUCAUGGAUGUCAAUAAUCACAAACAUAGUGGAGUAUAGGAUGCGAAAGCAUUGAUAAUAAAGCUGAAAUGAAAGCAAUAAUAGAGUAUAGGAUGUGAAAGUACUAGACCUAGUAGUGUCGUAGAAGAAAUUUAACAUUCAUGAAGUUAGCAAUAGCUAAAACAAUUUACAUGUACUUAUCAAAAGCAUAAAGUCUUCUAUCAACAAUUUAUAACAAUCAAAGUUCUUAUCAAAACACUACAACUUCUCUAAAGUAAGUCUUUUAUCCACAAGAUCUUGAUAUUCUUCAGUCCAACACCUUAGGUUGUCCUUCAUGAUCGAAACUGCCCAUUGAGCACGUGUUUUUGGUCCCAAAUUUCCAUCUACAUUAUCUUGUACAGGGUUCAUAAAUGUCAAAGCUUCCAUGAUCAAGCCAACAUAAAUAGUACAAUCAUUAGUUUGACCCUGUCGUGGUGUUAUAGCUUCUUCCAAUGGCAGAUCCAACCUUAGUGGUUCGUUUUCCAGCUCCAUCUUAAAUCUUUUGUUGAUUAGGAGAACAAGAUGGUUCUUCUGUUUUUCAAGCAAAAUUAAUAUGUUAUCAACUUUUGUUUUCUUAGAAAAAUAAAAUUAUAAACACAAAUCAAUAUGUUAUCAACAUAAACCUACACUAGACAUAGUGACUGAUAACAUGAUGUUAUCAGGGAAACCAAAACUGAUAACAUCAUGUAAUCAGUGAAACCUACAUUGGCCAUAGUGACUGAUAACAUGAUGGUAUCUGAUAAGAUACCAAAACUGAUAACAUCAUGUUAUCAGGGAAACCUAUACACAAGUAUGCACAACUCUUCUACUCAUAACUACAUAACAGUUUUAUCUUUUCUUUCACGGUUUCACCUUCCAGUAGUUAUAUAUCCCUACGCUUUUCAACUUCUUUAUUCUAUUAAACAUCGCGAUCAUAAUUAUUAUAAUCUAUAUCAAAUGUUUGAUUUAUGGAUUAAUGAUUUCACUGUGUAUCCAUUAAUAAGUUAAUAUUACAGUUUAUGUAAACGCAUAAACCCAAAACCCACAAUCUGAUCAGUAAAUAAGUAAUUCAACCAAUUUCCAAAUCCUUUUAACAUAUAUAGAGAUUCAAAAUAACUCACAAAACCCUAAAAUCUAAAUUAAACUAUCUUUCUAAUUCGUCAAUUUAAACCCUAAUUAAAAUAAAUAAAAAAAACGUUAUUGAAAUUCACAAUCGUCAUUUUUCUUCUGUGAAUCUAAUUUGGAUUCUUCGGAGGAUUUUUCAAUGUUUACCGCCAUUUUUUUUUCUCUAAAUUUCUCUUCUGAGUUCGUUUUGAAUUAAAUUAAACUUGUAGUUUUUAUAAUUUUCUCCUUAUAAAAUGGCAUAAUCAAAACCUCCUCCUUAAUAUGCGCACUCAAUUUUUCGUCAAAUAGGGUUUUGACUAUAAUAUCUAUCAAUAAUAAGGAUAAUAGACAAAUAAUUAAAUAAGUAAAAGGACUAGAUACUAAUAAAUAAAAAUUGGAAAAAUAAAUAAACACACCACCAUUAAAAUGAACCAGAAGAGUUACUAACACGAAAUAUCGGUAAGUAGGUUUUACUUUUACCCUGAUAACAACAUAGACCUAUGAAUAUUAGGUACUUACCAUCCCGAGAAAACACUACCAUUCGCGAGUUCGAUUUGAGAGGAUAGAUCAUUAUAAAUUAAAAAUAUUCCUGCCUGUACAAUAAAACUAAAUUAAAUUUGUGUUUUUGGAAUGUAAAAACACAGAUUAAAUUUCAUUGAGAGUAUUCAAAGAAAAACUUACUCAUCUUAUUACCACUAAGGCUACACUCAUUGAAGUGAUGGAACAUAAAUGAUACAAAAAGAAAAAGAAGAAGAUAGAAAAUGAAAGAGAGAUAAGUAGACUUGUAAGUUUAUUCCUACACUUGUUCCAUACUGCCUAUAUAUAAAGCUGUGAGUUUAUAUGUUCCUACACUUGUAAGUAUAUUUCCACAUGGCAAAAUUUCGAAUAAUCUACAUUUGCGUAUAAGGUAUACAAGACUGACACCAUAAUUUCAAACCUGCUCUUUUUGAUUCUUUCUUUUGUGAUAAGUCUUUAUGAUAUGUUUCUGGCUUUUCAGAGAAUAUCUCUGCAUCUAUCUGACCUUUAGCAGCAUCAGCUUUGAUUCUGUUGUACCUGUUACUAAGAUGAGUUGCAUCUGUGCCAAACUACAAAUUAAUGUGUUUAAAGAUGAUUAGAUUGUUAUAAACUUAUAACUUAGAAGAUCUGAGAGGUUUUGAAAUAGCAACUAAGGCCAAGAAGUAUUCCAUCCCGUGUGCUGUGGCUGCUGCCAAGACUGUGAUUCAUAUCAAAAAGGAGGUGUUGGUUUGAAAACUGUUGACAAGUUUUGGUAAGCUUGGGUAUUAGUGGCUUAGUACUAAUUAGUAGUAGAGUGGCUUGUUACUGUUACAUUUUAAAUGACAGUUUUUCAUAUGAUUCAAAAACUUGAGUUGCGCACCUCCCUUGCAUGAUCCUAAAGUCAAAGAUACUCACUAUACUGUAUAUGUACAACAGAAUCAAAGGUGAUGUAGCUAUGGUCAGAUACAGAGAUUCUCUGAAAAUGUCAGAAACAGGUCUGAAUUCUGAACAUAACAAAGACUAGAAAAAAGAAUCAAACUAUGAAAUUAUUGUCAAACACAGUUUAUAUAUAAUGUCUGUGACUCAAGUUUGUUUUUUUGGAAAAAAAUGAUGUGUUAAAGUUUCUUGACCACAGAUUGUUUAAUCAGUUGUGUACUUUGAAAUCACAUUUGCAGAACUGCUGGAAAUGCAGAGUACUGAACUUGAGAUAGUUUGUCAUACUGUACACAUUUCUAUAUGUUAUGGACUGUCUGGAAAGCUAGGAAUGAUAGUUGGUUAGUUACACAGGGGACAGCCUAUAAAAACUGUAAACGUAUUCAACACAAACGGAUUACUGGUCCGAGAAAUGUAGUGUCUUCAACAGUGACUGUAUAGUAGUCUUAUUCUACCAGAAAAAUAAAUUCCAAGUCAACAGAUCAACAACCAUGGGACAGAGAACCAAAGAAAUGAAUGAAAAUAGAACAAGUUCACAACACAGCAUGCACAAAUUUUCCUUCUGUUCUCAUUGGCAGCACUACGCAAGGAAUGCAGGUCUAGAUAUUAGUGCAAAGCUCACCACCCCUAACUGGAAACUAAACUAAGUUUUGAACAAAUUUGACUCCUUGAGAAGGACAGUAGUUGCACGAGUUAAACCUCACAAAUAAAUGUGUGCUUCUACACCGUUUGGAUUCUCUGUUAUAUACUUAUAUUGUAACUAUGAAAGGAUUUUUACAUUUAUACAUGAACAUUACUGCAUCCUUAGUUAAUAAAGGUUGCCUCCUAGCUCCUAGGUUUUAAUUAAACUCGUUCACAUCCCUGCAUACCUUGAGGAUAACACUCAUAUCUUACAAAAAAUCACAAUCUAUUCAUCUUUUAUGUAUGUUGUGGCCACAAUAAAACUUAUAAGCAACCUAAAGUUAAAGAUACUCGCUAUUUACAACAGAAUCAAAGGUGAUGUAGCUAAGUUCAGAUAUGCAGAGAUACUCUCUGAAAAAACAGGUCUGAAUUCUGAACAAAACAAAGACUCAUUCAUUAAACUUAGAAAGUGUAAGAACAGAAACACACAUUAUAUAUAUAUGCAUCAUGGAAUAGAUAAGAGUAGGACUACUCCAAAGUGAAGCCUAGCUACAUCUCUGUCUUCUUUCACUUUCUAUAUUCUUCUUUGCAUCCUUUUGAUUUGUAUCAUGCUCCAUGAUAUAUAUACAUACAAGGAAAACAAGGGUAUAUUAAGUUUGCUUUGAAAACUCUCAUGAUUUCAUUGAAAUUUUAUUUUUGGUUUUUAAAUUUAGAAAACAUAAUGAUUAUUCUUUUUGUGUUAUGGACAGGAAUAUGUUUUAUAACGAUCUAUCCUCUCAAAUACUCAAAUCCAAAUCGCUCCUGUAGUAUUUGGUUAGUACCAGAACUUUCACACACCUAAUGUGGAAACAAUUACUUUACCCGAAAAGUAGUUGUUGAAGAGAACGCGUCGAGUCUCCUGAUGAUAGACUGAGAGGUAGGUCUGUUAAAACGGCCCUUAGGCCCUUGGCCCGACCCUGUUCGGCCCGGCCUUUUCGAUGAAAAAGCCCUCUAAGUCAAGCCCUCCCAAUUUUAAGGGCCGGGUCAGCCCGGCCCUGAUGUAUAUAAGGGUAGGGUCAGGGCCAAUAUUUAAAAUGUGUAACCCGGCCCUAAGCCCGACCCUUAUUAAGCCCUAAUUAAGCCCUUUCAUAUUUUAUAGUUAAAUUCAUUUAUAUUUAAUAAAAUACACAUUUAAAAAUUGUCGGGCUUUAAGGCCCGACCUAUGAGCCCGGCCCUCAACCCUUUAGAAAAGGGUAAGGGUAGGGUAAGGGCUUAAGUAUUUUGAUGUCAACCCGGCCCUAUCCCGGCCCUCAUGAAUAGUAAGGGUAGGGCUGACCCGGCCCUUAAGACUAUAGGGCUUAAGUGUUGAAGGGGCUAGCCCGGCCCAUUUCACAGCCCUACUGAGAGGAGGAGAACUUCAAGACAACAUGUUUUCUGACUAGGACCAAGUGACCAACCAUAUGCUAGCAAUACUUCCCUAAAUUUAGAAUCAUCUCCUGGGGAAACAUGAAGUUUUCACUUGAAGUAUUAAUUUGAGUUAACCUCUAGGUGGAUAAAUUAGUAUGAUCAAAUAAUAACUUAUCUAAGAGCAUUCCUAGUAGUAAAAGGGUUUUAGGAGUAGCACAUAACAUAAGGGAGAGAAUGAGCUUGAUCCACCGUUUUUAAUUAAAUGCAAUACAUUCGUCUAAGAUUACUUAAGGUAGUGAAAUAUUUGCUGCAGCAAAGUAUUGUCAACGAUUGAACAACUCAAACAAAAAUUAACGUGAUGAAAAUGAGCAAAAACUGUCAUCGCUAUUAAUAUAUGUUCGGUUAAUAUAAAUUAAACUUGCAAGAACUGAUUACCUACAGAUUGUGUAAUCAGUUUGAACAAUAUUGAGAGAUGAACUGUGAAUAUUUACAACUGAACUAUAUAUCACAUUUGAACAACAUUAGAUGUACAAAACUGACGGAAAUUUUUAACAUUAUGUAUAUAUCACAUGUGCUUAGUUACUAUUUGUAUUUGUGAAAGAGAUGGCCAAGCUACUAGAAGAGAUCUUAAAGACUGAGUUUGAAGGAUUGAGUGGAAAAUUCCAACUAGUCAAUAGGCAGGUUGGGUAAUUCCGUGACUUGAUCGAUCAUCUUUAAUUAAAUGCAAUACAUUCAUAGAAGAUCACCCCACUUCAAUAAUUGCAAAUCUAGUGAAGUAUUUACUGCAACAACCAUUCUUAACUAAUGAAAUUUUUGUUGGUUAUUAUUUGUAAGUUUUGAGAAUGUGAAUUUAAAUUUACAAAAAAUGCAUAAAUAUACUUCACAAAUUAGGAAGUUCGAUCGUGGCAAGAAGAAUGUACUCCAUGCUUUGCAGCAAGAUCUGUUAAUGUUUUGUCCAUAGACCAUACAAACAUACCCUGGAUGCAUUUGAUCCAGAUUUCUGGAACAAUAAUAUCUUCUCAGCUGUCUGAUGUGGGAGAGCAUAUACUUGAACUUGUGCAAACAGUUCAGAGUAUAACUGAAAUGUUUUCUAAAGGCUAGCGAUGAGAAGGAAGUCCAGCUUAUAAAGUCUUUGAACUUGUGAAGAAGCUGCAAACAAGGUGAAGAACUAGGAAGACCUUUCUACUGCGAAGAAAGCCCUGGCAGGAACGCUAGGGAUUCUACUAAACCUGCGCUGAAGAAACUCAAGCUCUUGAAGGUUGAGAGGAUAGAUCAUUAUAACACAAAUUCUUGUCAAACCAUAUAAAAAAACUUAGCUUUAAUACUUUUUUAAGUCUACAGUCAUGAAACAUGAUUUAAAUCAAAAUGAGAUAAAGAAGAAAAUGGCAGAGAGAGAAGUAGACUUAUUUUGGGGUAGUGUUAUCUAUUCUUGCGCCUGUUGUCUCUGAUUCUUUCUUUUCAUCCUUCAUUCAUGAGUCUUUGUUCUGUUUAGAAAGCAGAGCGUAUCACUAUAUAUCUGACGAUAGGCUACUACAUCACCUUUGAUUCUGUUGUACAUAUAAUGAGUAUAUUUCUUUGACUAUAGGUUGCUAAAUAAGCAACCCAUUAAAGAAGAAUUGCAUAUGUGCAAACCAAGUGACACCAAACAUGAGGAUUGGCCAACAAUAUGCUAGUUGAUACCCAACCUGGUAAGCUGACUACUUUACCCUACUAUUAUUUGAGCCUUCCUUGUACAUGCACAUGUAUGUGGGUGUUUUUCGGCUACUCAUAUAGGCCGCUAUUGUGAUAAAAGGAUGUCCGAGUGCUAUUUACACUAUGCACGCAGCGACGCAGAUGACAACCUUUUGCCGUUGUUUCCUAGCAAAUUGUGUUCCCCGAGUUCCUCUGUGAGUCAUCCCAAACUGUGCAGCGGACUGAGUUAAUCGCUUAUUUUUACGAAAAACAACAGAGUUUUUGGUUAUGGCAUGUACUGUCAAAUCUGAGGCAUGAUCGAGAUUAGCCUGAGUCCUGAGAGGUAUCAACAGUUAACACUACAUUAAAAUUUAUUUAUGCAUCAUGCCUCAGAUUUAUUUAAAAUUUAUUUAUGCAUCAUGCCUCAGAUUUAUUUAUGCAUCAUGCCUUAGAUUUAAGUUGAAAAUCUCAAAUAAUCUACUAAUUGUAUUCUCAUGUCAUGUAUUGAAAGAUAAUCUCAAACUUGCUUAGUUUGAUUCUUCACUUCCAUGCAUCAUGACUGAGUCUUUGUUAUAUUCAGAAAUCAGACCUGUUUCUGGGUUAUUCACAGAGUAUCUCUGCAUCUAUCUGAUUUUAACUACAUCAUCUUUGAUUUUGUUGUACAGAGUGAAUAUCUUUGACUCUAGGUUUAAGAAGAAUUGCAUAUACGUUAUAUGAACUACCUCAUUUUGGAGACAACUAUCGACUUCUAAGGAUCAUCGCAUACAAAAUUUUCACUUCCUAACAGUGCAGAUCACGACUAAGACUCAGAUUCAGACCGCGAUUCAAUAAAAAAAAAAUUUCUAUACCAAAUACUGUACCAUUUUGACAAUCUAACCAUGAAAGUAGCCAUUUCGCAGUCAGCCCUGUGCGGAUCGUGCCACCGAUCGGGUUUUAUACACAUCCACAUCACAAAUUUAACCAACCCGAUACUGUAGUGUAACAUCUAUGGUGUAACUGUCUCGCAUAAAAUUGGGUCCUGAUUACAUUCUUCAUAAUGGUACUGUAAAACUGAUCAGAUUUAAUGAAAUGGCUCAAAGCAUACUCAAUCCAAUCCCAAUAGAUCGGGGUAGAUGGUACCUAAUGCCAUCUCCCCACUUUCAUUAUAGUAUUGUAAAUUGAUGUACUUGGAUAAACAUGAACAAGUUACCAAAUGCCAUCAUCCCAAAUUUUAAGAAACAUAAGCUCACCAAGAGAAAAACUCGUAGCUCAAUAUUUUCCGAUACCACCUAAUCCCAUCAUCCCCACUCCAGAAAUCGAAGCAAACACAGGCUGAAAAGAACCCGUCUUUGAAUUUUUCUAAUAACAAUGUCUUCUUUAACUUUCUGGAUGAGAACAGGACCACAGAACUCAUGUUUGUUGUCAUCAAAACAUGCUCGAAGAACGCCAUGUGUAAACGUAGACAACUUUCUGCUUUUAAGAGACUCAAGUUCGUCAUCAUUGUCCUGUCUUCAGUUCAGAUUCAUAGACAACUUCCCUGCAAUUAACGAAUAACAAAUUACUCCAUUUCUUUGCAGACAGAACACUGUUAAGCAAAAUUCUCAAGCGAUGGUAAAGCAAUAAAAAACAGAGUGAUACUAAAACAGAAUCAUGCCCUAAACUGAACUAUAUGAUGUACUAGGAUAAACAUGAACUAUAUGCUACUUACAAUGGCAUAUUUGGCAUAUACCGACAAAUACUCUUGAAUUAUGAUCUAUUUGUUCCGGAUAUCUCAAGACACAAACUCUCUCCCACGAACUAUAUGAUUUAACAAAAAAGACUGAAAAAUAAACAAACAGUUAAACACAUUUGAGGUAGGGAACAUUGACAGGAAACCAGUGAAUCAAGUCAGCUAGCAAAUGUUCAUUGGGCUCACAUCAGAUUCGGAUAAACUCACAUGUCUAAGUAAACGAUAGACGAACCUAAUUGAUUCGUCUAAACCUAGUUUGUUUUCGUUACUGAAAGUAGCUAUUACAUAUAAUAUUAUGAUAUUAUCAGAUAAUAUUUCAUAGUGAUAGAGUAUAUAACAAUGUUACUAGUUCAAGAACAACUACGUUACAAACCAACACAGAUGUUUAAUGAUCUCUCGUCUACCAAUAUGUUGAUCCAUCCAAAGGGGAAACAUCACUACUGAUUUUUUUAAAUAAAUGUAUACCUAUAUAAAAACUUAUUGCAACAUUUUGUCACAUACUUGGAGUACACACAAAGGAGCUACAACCCACAUUCUCAAAACUUUCAAACAACCAACCAAAUUAUUAAAUGCAGGAUAUAUGUUCAGCUUAAAAUAAUUGCAUUGCCCAUGAGUCAUGACAAAGGGACUAACCUGCCCGAAUUGCUGCCUUACAUUUUUGAUACGUUCCUCAACUUGUUCUGCAGUCAAAAGAUCAGUCAUACACUUUGUCUUUCGUUUUCCAAAAUAAGUUCCUGCCACAUUAUCUGCAAUUUUUGGCUCCGUAUCCUCCUUUUCAACCAAGACAGACACAUGAAGCCCUUCAUCCACGACUGGAGUUUGAUGUGGAGUUUGAUGUGGAGUGUCAAGUAAUUGCAUGACAUCGUCCGAUGCUUGAGACGUCUCAUUAUCAUAUAAAUUAGGUAUAGAAAGAUGCUUCACAAUCUUUGGUUGUUCUGGAAGAGGGCGUAUCAUAUCAUCUAAUAAACCUGUAUCGCACAGCUCAUCAGAAUCUCCAUCAAAAGGAAGCACAUCCAAUUGCUGAUACAUAUGAGGAUCUUCUGCUGGAUGGUGAGGUUGAAUCAUGUCAUCAUCCCCUUGUCGAAAGUUUUCUUUAGAAGACAGAUAAGGAAGCGAGCCAUCAAUCUUUUGAAUAUCUUCUGAUAAGGCAGUAGACAACUGUAUACCAGAAUCUCCUUUGAAUUUAUACAUAUCAAUUGUUGAGAUAUAUGACUAAAUUCUUCUGAAGGGCUUUGUUGAUGCCUGUCAUUAUACCACUGAGGAAAGGUAUCAUUGCUAAGCAACAGAUAAGGAAGAAAGCCAUCCAUCGUCGUCUUUCUUUUUCUAGGCAGUGGUUGUAGUAUAUCUUCUAAAUAACCAUUACAGGACUGUCGACCAAAAUCUGCCUUAAUAGGAAGCCAAUCAACCCAUGAAUGCAUGUGAGGACUGAGGAGCUUCUUCUUGAAGACAAGGUUAUGGGUUGUAUAACUAUAUGAGAGAAAAAGAGGCCAACAAUCUCUCUUAGAGGACUGUCCACUAAAAUUUCCCAAAUAACCAUUAGAGGACUGUUCACCAAAAUUUCCCAAAUAACCAGAAGAAAAAUAAACUCAAUCAAGAAAGCCUCAUGACUCAUUGUUUUCCGAUACCACCUAAUCCCAAACAACCCACAUUCUCAAAACUUUCAAACAACCAAACAAAAUUAUUUAAAAAAAAACACAUACUACGGUUCAAAUGAAUACUUACAUAACGAUUGAUGAAUGAAACAAUCAAGUCAAUGUUUUCCAAUAAUACCCAAUCCAAUCAUUCUUUUGCUGGAAAGAGAUCUGUCACGUCCGGAUUUCCCAAGACCAUCUCUUACAAAUCAUUUCUCAUCUACAAGAUCUUCUUAACCACAAAAAGAAAUGGAACAAAGGAGUAAAAGAAAUGGAACAAAGGAGUUUAGAAGGCAAAAUUGCUGAACGUUAUCCCAAAAUUUAUCAAGAAAAAACCAAUCAAUCAAAAAAGUCUCAUGGCUCAUUGUUUUCCGAUACCACCUAAUCCCAUCAUCCUCACUUGAGAAAAAAAAAAAAAUUCACUCAUGGAGAUCACAAAUUGCCCCAAAUUAUAACUGCAGACAGAAUAUAUACAGCUAAACUGCCAUUAAAUCCAUUAAUGGCAUAAAUAUAUACAGCUAAACUGCCAUUAAAUCCAUUGUGGACAGCUAAACUGCCAUUAAGUCCAUUAAUGGCAUAAAUAUAUACAGCUAAACUGACAUUAAAUCCAUUACGGAAGCAUCUCCAAUGGUUGGGCUAAAAUAGAAGCCCCAACUCAUCUUUUAAACCUUCAAAGUGUACAUUAUAGUAUUAUACAAUGUCUUAUUAUACAAGCUAAAAAAGAGCCCAAUGAUGUAGCGUAAAUAUAAUAACAAAAUUUGUCCAAAAAUCCAAGAAGAAAAUGAACACUACGGCAGUUCUCAAGAGUAUGGAGGGGUAGUUAGGAGAAAGGCCAUUACAGAGUUUAAUGAAAAAAGUUUCAAAUAUAAUUAUAAGGUUUUGGUAGAUAAUGAACACAAAAUAGAUUUUUCAUCACGAAGAACACACGACAUAGUAGUUUCUGUCUCCUAAAUGAUCAAAUAAUUAGUCUUCCAAAUAUCACAUCACACCUUUAUGAUAAUGGAUAUAGACCUCAAUAAAGUUCAUUCAUUUGAUAACCAUGGAGGUAGUAAUGUAAAUGAUGCGAAUUUAGGUCGGACUAGGGUAUGUAAAUAUUCAAAACCAUAUUUAUUUACUUCAAACCAGAUCCGGAUCCAAACCCAAAUUAAAACUUCAUGUAUGAACCAUAUCCAAACCGUUUUACAUUAAAUAUAAUGUACAACAUCUGAGUUGUGGUUUUAUAAAGCCCAAACCCAAACCCUAAGUAAGUUGCGGUCGGGUUAAUAUUUAAAAAUGAAACAACAAGUAAGUUGCAGUCCAGUUAGAGUUGCGGUCCAGUAACUUGGGUGUGGCUUCUAUCGUACCGCAAGAGAGUUGCAGUCUGGUAAAAUCUUAAUUCGAAACCGUAAGAGAGGUGUGAUCUGAAACAUUUAUUCAUGAUACCGUAAGAGAGUUAUGGUAUGGUAGGUAAUUUUACCUUGACCUCAUUCUAACGUGUAUGUUUAUGAUUUACCCCUUUACCUAACAGAAUGAGGCCAAUGCUAAAAAUCUGUUAUUUGACAAGCCACCGUUAAGUAACAAAAAGUGUAAACCAAAUGCUAUUAUACACUUAGCCUAACCAUUGGAGAUCGAUGCCUUUAGAGAGUGAGAUGGAGAGCAGAGGAUAAGUAUGAUCAAACCUAGUAAUGUGUUGCUCUAUGUAUUGUUUUUUCACAAGUGCAAUGCAUUCAUCGAAAUUAAAUAAGUGCAUAAGGUUGUGUAAUAUUUGCUGCAACAAGGCUUGAUUAAUAAAAAUCAUCUUCAAUAGUUGGAAAAAGUUAUGGAUUCCGAAACCAUGACCAUAAUACUAUGGAAAAUUGAAUCUAAGGCUUACACAACUACACUCACUUUCCCAUCUGGUGUAACCCUAUUAAAAAUUUUGAUGAUGAAAUUCAUAAUGCUGGCGCUUGCCUUCUUUUUUCGCCAGGCCCCUGUUUGUGCUAAUGGGACAAUUUUCUUAAUGAUGGCAAAAUUACAAAUCAGUUCUCCGGUACAUAUUAGAAAACCUAUAAAAAAUGUUGUCUUGCAGUCCUGAUCAUAAUGUUGUUGUGAAGCUGAUCAGGGGCUGAACUCUAUCGAGAAGUGUUAUCAUCGUUCCAAGCCAUCAAGAUCACAUCCAUCCAUUUUAUCCACACCAGCCACACUUGUCAUUAAAACACUGCAGACAUGAUCAAGAAAUCUUGGUCAAUAUUGUAUUACUUUAGUAUAUGUUCAAUCCAUUUCUUUGCUUGGUCUACUUAAAAAUUGUUAAGAGAUAAUUUCUUGUUUACAGAUCAGAUGAUAUAUGAAUGUUACUUACCAGAUUAUUUUUUCAGAAACGCGAGUUGGAUUUUGAGAGGAUAGAUCAUCAUAACACAAAUUCCUGUCAAGACAUAAGAAAGUUUACCGUUAUUUCUUCUAAGGCUACACUCAUGGAACAUGGUACAAAUCAAAAUGAUGAAUGAAAGAAAGUUUAAGAGAGAGAUUAGUAGACUUCACUUUGGAGUAUAGUCUUACCUAUUCUUGUUCCAUGUUGCCUCUAUAUAUAUAGGCUUUCAUGUUUGAAAAUUUCUUUUCUGAAUGAGUCUUUGUUAAUAAUGUUAUUUUCAGAAUUCAGACCAUGGUUCUGGCUUUUUCAGAGUACCUCUGUAUCUGAUAGCUACAUCACCUUUGAUUCUGUUGUACAUAGAACAUAGUAUCUUUUGACUAUAGUCUAUAGGUUGCUAAUAACUUAAUAAGCAACCCAUUUAAUAAGAAUAGCAUUUGUGCCAAACUGCCAUCAUAGAAAUGAAGUUCUACAUCGCUUAUGGUGAUAUACUACAUCGCCAGUGACUAGAGGGAUCAUCUCUUGGAUCAGUGCUUCUUAUGACUAGACUCUAGAGGGAUCAUCUUCUGGAUCUUGCAACUACCAUUUUCAGCACAUAGAUGACUGCAAUGAUCGAUGUUAGUAGUCACAAAUCCAGCCUCCAAUGCUGGUGUCGUGUUUCAGUGUGUGCUUUAUAGAAUACUGUGUCUGUCACUCCAUGCAUGACCAGCUAUUAUAUGCAGUGAGAAUGGGCAAAUGACCAGCUAUAGUUUGUUUAGGUCAGAGUUUUUCUAUAUGUUUAUUGAAUCCAUCUACAAGAGAAUACAAGAUUGUAGAUAUGUCUGAUACAGAUGAGCUUGAUACAUAUGCUUCCUUUCACUCACAUGUUUAUGGAUUUAGGUAUGAUCAAACUAUUGAAGAUUACAAACUGGUGCAGUUUAAAUUUCUUCUUUAAGGUUGGGAUUAUAGGCAUUCUGAUCAAGUCCUGGUUUACUCACUAAAUAAGGUUGUGUGCUCGAUUUCUCUUAAACUUGCUAAAAGAAAAUGUGAUUCAGCCCUAGUAAUAAUCUGUUUUGAUAUUAAGGAGAACACGUUUCGUGAGAUGUUGCCACCUGUUGCUAAAUAUACUGCUGACACUACUCUGGGUGUGCUAGAAGGAAAAUUAUGUUAUCUUGGUAGGUUUUGUGGUGAGUUUAUCGAUAUAUGGGCGAUGAAAACUUAUAAUAUAUGCAAGUGACUCGUGGUAUAAAUUAUUUUUCAUAGGGAAAAAUGUUCUUCCAUUAGCUCUACUUCCUACUACAGCAUUGUGUUUUGCUCAAAGUGGUAACAUUGUAUUGAGGAAUGGAAGAAAACUCAUUGUGUAUGACCCAAAGAAAAAAACAUUUACCUAUAUGGAUUACAAGGUGUGUAUUGGAGUAAAAUAGAAGCGAUAGUGCCUCAUGUUGCGAGCCUAGUUCCAUUAAAAUCAGGUACAUAUUUGAGACAAUCAAGGAAGACUUCAGUCAAAACUUCAAAGAUAAAAACACGAAAACGAAGAAGGGAGGUGUAGUCCAGGUGACUAUGUGAUAUUGUGCUUGCAACUUUCUGAAUAUGCUAGCUACUGUGAUAUUGUGAGCCUUGGGACAAUCCAGAAGUUGAGCUUUUGAUUCAAUUCAGUUCUCUGUCAUUGUUUGUUGAGGCUAGAGCAUCGUCGCCAGAAAAUUAAAAACUUUCAUUAGGGAAAUGUUAGAAUAAGUUUACUUUUGAGGGUCGUAUUAGCACCAAUGAAAUCUAUAUGUUAGAUUAUUAACUUUAAUAUAUCAAGUUAAUUUUUUUAAUAUCUAAUUUAUCCUACACAUUUGGUGUAUCCAUGCUAGGACAUAUUGUGUCCUACACUCCUGCUAUUUGGUUUUUCUUGCAGCAUUGGUCUACAAAUUGAGUCCAUUUCAUAACAUAUAAGGUACCCAAACCAUGAAACUAGAUGCAGAGAAAGAAUGAUGUUGGAAGCAUAGAAUUCAGUUGAAUGCGCAACAGAAAGCAGGGUGCUCUGUUUCAAGAUGGUCUCAAAAUCCAAAUUGUCCAACUAAGAUACAAAAGAAUACAAGGGCAUUCUGUUUGUCUACGAGUUGGAAAAUAUUACUUAUACAUGACUCAAAACUCGUUAUUCUAAGGGCUGCAGUUAAAAAAAAAAAUAACAAUUUGAGAGCCUUUUUUCUUAUAUUACACAACGAGACCUGAAAGCUAUUGGUACUAUCUUGGACAUGGCGAACGUAGAUAUAAUUUAAUUGGCUUCUAAUCCACCAGCAUAUGUAACGCUCGUGGAUGGCAACCAGAGAUCUCCAUUUAUAAAAUUAGCCACAGUGAAACUUUCAGCUUCUGAUGAAUUCAUUACAUGGUAACCUGGCCACUUAACCCUUCUAUCAAGAUUGGCUCCAGGUCCACUAUUUCUGUAUUCCCCAUAAUAAAGUUUAUCCAACCUCAUUGUGUCAUUCCAAGGCUUCCACCCUUCAGGUCUAAUAAUGUCACCUAAAUAAGACUGCAUGAAAACUGUUCUUGCAUACUCCCUCCAAGGUCUGCCUAAGAAUGCAGACUUCUUACUGCUUGGUAUAAAAUCAGAUGAAAUAUUACUAAAUUGGAUUGAAAACCCUGUUGUUAGAUUCGAGCUGAUACGACUAUGGGCUGUUAUGUAUGAACUGCCAGGUUUUCUAACCAGUAUGGUGCAGUUUUGGAAGACUGCAGUUCCCUUUCCGAAGAUGAAGUCCACAGUCCCAGUGAUCUCACAUUCUCGGUAGAAUUGGCGAUUGGAGUGCACAUACAAAGUGUCUUGAUAUCCACGAAAGCGGCAUUUGUAGAACACUGAGAGAUCUGAAUUUGAUCGGAGUGCAACAGCUUGACCUAACUUUGGCCCUGCUGUGUUCUCUAUUGUCAAAUUGUGCGCCAUAAAUCUUUGGCCACUGACAGCUGCAAAUGAACCCAACGGAUUAAAUAAUUAACGAGCACUCAAAAAAACGUAAAGCUUAAUUUCUUUUUGAAAAAUAAGAUUAUACUCACAUAAGGUAGCAGUUGCAUAUGUUUUCAAUUUGUGUUUACUUCCAAUGACGCUUCGAUUACCAGAUAUGAUAGUUGAGUCCAUUCCAUCUCCAAUCAAAAUCAAAUUCCAUUUGUCUUUUUUAAUUUCUACAUUUUCUUUAUAUGUACCAUUUUUAAUGUAAAUAAGGUAUUUUUGCUUACUCUUGCUAGGAGCAGCUAAUACAGCAUCCAUAAUACUAAUGAAAUCUCCUGAUCCAUCCUUAGCAACAACAACAAAAGUUGAUACUGGAAUUUCUUCGGAUGGCUUUUGUCGUGUUUGAAAAUUACCAUUAUCACCAAAUGAAAUAUCACUUACCAUGCCAAGAAUGUUUGAGACCUGGAAGAUUAUUGACUGGAGAUUGUUAAUAAAGUUUAUUUUGUCUAAACCUUGCACACCUUGAAGCCCUUCAAUGCAUGUAUAUUGGUCUGAAAUUGCUGCACUUAACCAUGUCUUUAAAUCUGCAUUCCUGUUUCCAGUGCCACAAGAUUCACCUGUCACAAAUUUUUGAAUGAGUAGAGGUCAUACUUACGACUUUAUUAGGGUGAAUCUGACAUUAGAAUUAGCAAAACGAAAAUAGCGGUAAAACAAAUUUUACUAAGAUUAUACUUACAAUCGAGGUACUGUAUUACUGAUUGGGACAUACUAAGAUCAUCCGUUGUAUCAUUAAGCAAUUCAACGCAAUCACCAAUCGCAUUCAUCAUCCCAGUAUCUUUAGAUUUAUCUGCAAACAUCAACACAGCAAGAUUUUGUGCCACCUUCACAUUUUCAAUUGUUGAAUUGAUUGCUGAUAAGAAAACUGAUGAAGGAACUGUCAUGUAGUUUAUAUUAAGAACAUGAUCAGAAGUAACUACAAGGCAAGGAUGUAAAAAGAAGUGAUGAAGACAGAGAAAAACAAAAGCUAGAUUCAAUGCAUGAAAAGCCAUGGCUGGUUGUGAAGAAUGUGAUAGCAUAAAGACUUUAUAUAAUGGUUGUGUACUUGUAUGUAUGUAACUGGGAAAGAGAAGUAGUGUUGUAUUUGAAAUUUUAUUAAACAUACAUUGAACCAAUAAUUAAUACUAUAAUUAAAUCCAUUAGAGAAAUAGUGAAAUACAUUAAUGACUAAUAAUGUUUAUACUUUGUUUUAGGCCAAUUGGUUUAGAAUGUUGAACAAUGUGAGUUGCUUAAGCAAAUUUGACCAUAUCAUAAUGGCAAUUUAUAUCUUUUUUCCAUCUAUAGUGGACUAUGGAGUUAUGGUUAUGAACAAUGUGAGUUGCUUAAGCAAAUUUAACCCCUUGUUCACAAAAUGAAUAAAUGUAAAGAAGAAAAUGGUAUAAUGGUUCAAGGAAGAAAAUUUGUAGAAUUAAGAUGGCGUUCGGCAACUAAACAAUGAAGCAAACUUCACUUAACAGUCAUUGACUGAGCAGGAGCUCUUGAGCUCUUUUUUUAUGCUUUUGGAAGGGGUUCUCAUUUCGCGUGAUAGAUUGAACAGGAGGAAGUAUGUGGGUGGGGGAAAAUGCUCUGACCCAGUUAAACAGCAGAGGAAACCUCUAAAAGUAUAAUGUGGAGAAGGCUUUAGCCACAAACCGCCAAAACUAGGGUGUAACCGCCAUGUUGAGCACAUAAUAGCAUGCAAACAACAUUGUUUAAGUUCAACUUUUGCCAAGUUUUGUAUACAACAAGGUAUGACCUGUCCCUCCGGAACGCUUAUUUUUAAUUAUAUUUAAACUACUAAUUUUAUAUCCGCAUACAAAUCUAGAGGAUAAAAAUGGACAAUUGAUAGUUAAAUUGAUUACAAUAGUUAAUUUGAAUUUAUUUUUAUACUUGUAUUGAGUAACUCAAUGAUAAUAAACACCAAACAAAAAAUUGUGAUUGGUCUAAUAUGAUUUGCAAAGUCCUCUAUAUGUACAUAAUAGAGAUAAUUAAACAUUUUUGUUACUGAAAAAUAAAUCCUAUCUUAUUAUUUAUUGUAGAAAAAAAUAAAUUUUAACAGCGAUGAAAAUAAAGAACAUAUUAAAUUUUCAUAGCUUCAUCUUCAUGACUUUUGUCUUCUAAAUUGAUAUUUUCAAUUGCUUGCACGAAUCUUUUUUAUUAGUUUCACAUAUUUCAUUCUUUCUUGAAAAUAGUUGUUAGACCAUUUUUGGACUUCAUUUUUUUGUCAAGAAAAUCUUUGAGUUGAGCGUUUGACCCUAAACCAUAGCAUACGAUAUAUGUGGAUCACCUUCUUUUGAUCAUGAACCUAGCUUUACACCAUUUGCAACGUCUAGCUUAUUGUGAUGUUUGCAUAAUCAUUUCAUUUUUUAGAUGCAUUUUAAAGGUUAUUUCCUAUUCCAUAAUUAAUGAAGGCAUGUGUAGGUGUUAUCUUUUUUGAAAAAUAUGCCUCUAAGUAUGGCUUGUACAACUGUUUGAUAGAAUAGUCCUCAUGUCAUAUUCCAUAUAUGAAGGUUGAACAAUUUGGUCAAGCAACCAUCAUCACAUUGUACGAUAGAAUAGUCCUCAUGUCGUGGUUUAAUGAUCUAAAAGUUCGAAUAAGAAGAGGUUCAUGGAUAUCAUUCUUUGCAAGGUGUCAACCACCCUGUUGGAUUCCCUGUAUAUUUUCCAUUCUCACCUUCUGUAAUUUCCUAAACCAUGGAAGCCUAACUGAAAUUAUUGAGUUUCCCAUAAACUAUCUUCACAUUGCACUGAAAGUAUUUAUUUAAUCAUAUUCUAAUAAAACUUUGUAGAGGUUGUAGAGGUUGCUCAUAUUCUAGUAUGGGCAAAAGUGAACUGGCUGACCUUUGUGCUUCAUUGUUUAUUACCUUGAAAGAUUUCUUGGUGAAUCUGAUGGUUCAUUUAUCAUUCAGAAUAGUUGUUCUGUUGAUCUCAUAAGUUUCUUUGAAUUUCUAAAUAUCGGUUUUAUUACUUCCUGAUUUUGUGUGGCUGCAACAAAGAAGUUAUGGAAUUCAUUCAAUCAUUUGUAUAUAAAGAAAAAAUAUAUCUAACUAAUCAAUCAACAUUUACCACAGGUUUCUAUAAAAAAAAAAAAAAAAAAAAAAAAAAAAAAACAACAACAUCAACAACAACCACAUUUACCAUUAGUGAAGACAUGAUUUUCAAAUUGAAACUUGGCUUUGUUAGGUGAUAAUCCAUAAUAGUUUUUCUUCGAUGGAAACAUUUAGUUCCACAAUAGUUUGGUCCUUGAUAUUUCCAACAAUUCAACACAAAAAAUAUUGUUGAAAAGUAAGUAAUUACAUUAGUGAUAGUCCUUGCUAUCACCUCAACACGCCAUUAUAUCCAUAAAACAAAAUUUGUUGUUUCCGAAAACUUUGAUUUUUCUGGAAAUGUAUAGAUGAAAUUAAAACUAUUCACUUAUAAAUAAAAUUUGAAGCAUUGACAUGAAAGCAAAAACGAUAGUAUUAGGUUGAAAUCACUAAUAGAAUCGUUAGUCAAAUAUCAAAUUAAAAAUAGAAAUAUUAAUUAAUUGUAUAAAGCUCAUAUAGUCCAGGUUUAAGGAUGUGUUGUAUGUAUUAUUUGUAUAAUUGACUUUGGCUAUAGAUACUGAAAAUAAAAAUAAAAUUAAACACAAAAAAACUUGAAUUUCAAAUUUUUCUUUGUUGAAAAGGAGAAAAAAAAAACAAACAAAGUGUUCAUUGAUGAAAAUAUGAGAGUAGAGAGGUGAUAGAGGUUUGAUGGUAAGCUAGAACCGAUUGAUAACAUGGAGAGAGAGAGACGUAUGAGACAGAUAGAGUUGUAUGAUAGAAUCUAUACUCUCUAUUAAAGUUAGGCAUGCCCUUAAGCAAAUAUUCUCUCUCUAAAUUAUAGAAAAAUUGAUGCUCUAAUUGAAGAGAAAUUUAUUAAAAUUUAGAAUCGAAAGAUCAUUUUAGAACUUUUACGCAAUAGUUAAUUAGUAAGUCUAUUUAAGUAAUUUCACUCCAAAGUAAAUAUUUAAAGUUAACCAAUAUAAGAUAAACACUAAUCUGUAAACAUCAAAAGUUGAUCCAUAUGAAAAAACUAAUGCUUUAAUUGAAGAGAAUUUUGUUAAACCAAAAUAAAAAAAUUUAUUUAUUAAAAUCACAUAACUAAAAUUUAUCCAAAAUAUGUUCAAAAAUCAAAAGAAGUAAACACUAUAACUUGGUUAAAUCAAUAUAUUUACAAACCAAAUCAAUUGAACAUCUUAUCCAAAAUAUUGGUAUUUUGUCAAAAGUUAAAAUUAAAUCUUUUGUUGAAAAAAAUAAAAAUAUAGUAACAUAAGCAAAAUAAUGUCAAGAAUUUGGAUUGUGAGCUUGGAGAUAUAAUUUACACUCCAAAUUAAAAACGUCAAUUUAUAUUAUUUAAAUUGUUAAGAAAAAUAUAUAGGUAAACAAAUACAUUAAAUAAAUUCUCAAAAAAUAUUAUAAAAUGAUAGUAAUUUAUUAUUAUUAUUAUUAUUAUUAUUAUUAUUAUUAUUUUACAUUAUAUCUUUGAUGACUACACAAAAAAUGAGAGUAAAAUUUAAAUUAGUUUGAUCUAAAACUUAAAAAUAAAACCUUUAAAUCAGGACAACAAUAAUUUUAUGGAGGAAUUAAAAAAUAAAUAUACAUAUACAUAAUAAAAUUCUAUAAAAUAACAUGUAAAAAUCAAAAUCAAAUUAUAACAUGUAAAUCUUACAUAUAAAAUAACACCCGUGCGUUACACGGGUUAAAUAACCCAAUCUCUAGAAUCUCAUUAAAUCCCAAUCUCUAUAAUCUUCUGUGCAAAUCUUGACCAUCCUUUGUCUCUUUACCAAGUUUUAUAAGUGUCGGUUAUAAUAUAGAUCACACGAACUAGUCGAAAUGCAAUAAUCAUCUCAACCGGUUGAAAUGCAAUACAGUAAUUUACAAUAAGCUGUCAUCAAAGUUGGGCAUUUGAACAUGAACAUGAACAUGGUACCUUCAUAAACCUGUUAAGAGUGGUGAGCUCUUUGAUUUCGACCCUAGAGGCAUCGUGUUUGCUUCCCCUUUUAAGAAAGUUUCUCGUCAUUGAAGGUUUAAAAGCAAUUCAACAUGCAGGAAUGACAUUCUCUGUAUUUUUAGUACUGAAGAAAGGGAUGACAAACUAUCGCAAGCAUAGUACUCUUGCAUUUCCAGCAGUUCUGAGCCAUUCGAAAAGGGUAUAAUAAAGAAAUCAAAGCAUAUAAUUUUUACAAAUGUGAUUUCAAAGCAUACAAAUAUACAUUACAUGAACUACCUCAUUUUCGAGACAACUAUGACUUCUGAAGAUCAUUGUUUACAAAAUAAUCACUUCUUAAGCAGUGCAGAUCGCAACGAACAGACUCAUAUUCAGAGGGACAUUUGUCUGCAACAGUCAAUAUCACAACAAAUAUGAGGAACACAAUCCAAUCUUUACAGAGAAGCAAUAUCAAGAAUAACCACCCUGGACGUUGAAAUCUCAUUUCAAAUUACACAGUUUAAUUUUUUUUUUUUUGCAAACAAAUAGGGAGAUUAUAUUAAGAAUAAAAGAAUGUUACAGCAGAAAUGUUGGCUUAGAUCAAUAACAAAGCUAAGCAAAUCCGUAAUAGAUUUUGCCAGGACAUUCUAUAGCAAGUACAAAGUCAGGGCAUUAAGAAGACCAUAGUAUAUCCCCCAUUUACAACUGAGCACCACGCUUUGAAACUGCAUCCACUGCGAAAUUAACCUCCCUAUAGGUGUGUGUAAGUGUGUGUGAGUCUCCAACUGACUAGCUGGGUUGUGGCCAGCUUCCAUCGUGCGAGAAGAUGCUAAGAUACCCACCCAGAGGUGAAAGCAGUCACAAGAGCAAUGGAAAGUCUGCACAGUUCAAACAUUUGGGGUACAUUAACAAGAACAAACACCUUUUCAAUAUUUCUUCCGAAGCAAAUAUACCAUUUUGGAGUAUUAUUACUUACUUAACAUUGUUCAUGCAUGGUCACUUAAAAUCCCUUUUAACAAUCUAAACAUAAAAUUCAUUGUAACAUUUUGUAACCUACUUAGUGUGCCCAAAAAGCAGCUAAAACCCACAUUCUCAAAACUUUCAAAUAACCAACAAAUAUAUACAUAUUUUAUCACUUUAAAUGAAAAUUUACAUAAUAAUUGAAGAUCGAAUGGAACUUUUUUCACCUAAUUGGAUGGAGCAUAAACGUAAAACGAUUAGCUCAAUAUUUUCUGAUACCACCUAAUCCCAUAUCUAUCCUCACUUCAGAAAUCGAUGCAAACCAUCAAAGACCUGAAGAUGAAGUAGGGUUUUGUUUGCCCUAAAGCAAAUCAAAAGCUUGAAAAGAAGACACAAAUUUAGGGUUUAGGGUUUAAGGUUGAUAACAGCAAAUCAAGCAAAUCAAACAUGUACAACCGCCGCCCCAGUCCCAGCCUACAAAUCUGUCAGGUUGAUAACAACUUCCCUCAACUAUAACUCCCAAAUUCUCCAACAUAUCUGAGAGUGAAGUGUGUUCUCCAAACAGAGUGACCCAGAUGCUCCAUCGACUAAUCAUACAGUGGCUAUACAAAUAGAUCAAAGGGAACUAAAUGAAAGAGAAUCUGGAGUUUCAUCAAAGGGCGAGUUGGAUUUGAGAGGAUAGAUCAUUAUAACACAAAUUCCUGUUGAAGCAAUUUUUUGUAAAUUUCAAAACACCCAUAAGUUUCAGCAAUAUCAUUAGAGUUUUCAAAGAGAACUUACCCUGGUUAGUUGUUACUACACUCAUGGAGUGAUAGAACAUGAUACAAAAGUAUAAAACAAAAGGAUGGAAAAAAAAAACAAGAAGAGGACUGAAGAAGUAGACUUCAUUUUGGAAUAGGUCUUAUCUAUUCUUGUUCAAGGUUGCAUAUAUAUAAGUUGUGUUUGACAAUUUCAAAGCUAUCAGGAAUUCAGACCUGUAUUUCUGGCUUUUGCAGAGAGUAUCUCUGAAUCUGACCAUAGCUAUAUCACCUUUGAUUCUGUUGUACAUAGUGAGUACCUUUGACCUUAGCAGCUUAUAAGCAACCCAUUUAAAAAGAAUUGCAUCUGCGCAAACCAAUGUACGAUAAAUUAGCUAUUUUGGUCCACAAACUUUUACCAAAUUUUCACUUGAGUCCACAAAGUUGUAUUUGGUCAAUUUGGUCCGUAAAGUUUCAUUUUGUUUGCAAUUUGGUCUCAGGUUAAGUUUCCGUUUUGGAUCACUUAACGUAGGGUGAUUUGGCAGUUAAAAAUUCUAUGUUAAAUUUAAAUUUUAAAUUUUCUUUUAUUGUUUUUUGUGAUAGGUCAACAUAUGAGAAGUUCGUAGGAUUUUAAAUUUAACUGAGCAUAUACGAUUUUAACUGCCAAAUCACAUUCUAUAUUAUGUGAUUCGAAACAAAGACUUAACCUAAGACUAAAUUGCUAACAAAAUGAAACUUUGGAGACCAAAUUGACUAGAUACAACUUUGUGGACUCAAAUGAAAAUUUGAUGAAAGUUUGUGGACCAAAAUAGCUAAUUUAUGUAACUUGAAAGACCAAGUGACACCAUUUUUUUUAUUUUUAUUUUUUGGGUUGGCAAGCGAGGUUGAGGGGAUCUACCCCUUUUAAAUUACGUGUCAAAACUUAUAUCAACAAUCAGCGGUUGAUGUGUUUCAAACCCACAACUUCUCCAUUUAGUGAGAGGGGGUGCUACCAUCGAGCCACAGGCUCGUUCGCAAAAAAUGUUGUGGUAAGCCUGUUUUUUAUGAAAUCAGUAACUCGGUAAUGCUGGCGAGAUUCAAACCCCAGACCUCUGGUAUCAUCACCCAAAGGUUUUACCGAUUGAGCCCAACCGGCACAUGCAGUGACACCAUUCAUCCAAGAUUGCUUAAGGUAGUAAAAUAUUUGCUCCAGCAAAUAAGCAUUGUCAAAGAUUGAACAAAUAUGAACCUGCAGACAAAAAUGUGCAAAAACUGUCAUCAAUAGUAAUGGGGUUCCAGGGACUCAGGAAAUGUUUGACUCAAUUUUGACUCGGUCUUAUUUAGGGUACUUGUAUAUAUUGGAUUGAUAUGAUUUUUUGGUAGAUAUCAUCUCCUUACUAUAAAGAUCUACUACAUAAAAAAUCAGCUCAUUUGAAUAUAUUUAGAUCCAUCAAAUGUAAUAUUAAAUUCAACGGUAAAAAUGAACGUUCCACAAUACAUUAACUUGUAAUAUGAUUUUCAUAGGGUUAGAAAAUUCAGAUUAUGAUAAAUUUUUGGUGAAGAUGUCGUACAUAAUGAGAACAUUCAUCCUACAAAAAAUCAUGCCAAUCCAACAUGUACAAGUACCCUAAAUAGAAUUUAGUCACAUUUCCUGAGUCCCUGAAACCCUGCUCAAUAAAAACUAAAAAUACAAAGAGAUUGUCAGAUUUCAGUCAAAAAUAAUGUGGUAUUCAAACAAUCAAACCAGAUUACAAUUGAUCCAUAGGAUCAUAGGAUAAAUCGUCAUUCAAUUCGAACGACACACUGAAAAAUGAUCAAUGACUCAAACUUCAAUGUGUUGAUGAAAGGUGCUCAUAGAAUAUACGUGAGUGGGUCAUACAAGCUUGUUGUGGUCACAACACACAUAAAAAAUGAUUAGCUUGUGAUCAUUUGUGAUAGCUGAGAGCUUGAGAGGUCUGCAAUGCAUGGGCCUUGAGAUUGUGGCCCGUUUAAUUCUCUUUAAGUUGUGGUCUACUUGUGAAAAUACGAAUUUAACCUUUUUCAAUUAAAAUUAGACUCAAUUCUCUUCAAUUAGGCUAUCAAUUAGGAGAGAGGAAAUUUUCAUAUGGGUAGGUUCCCUAAUUAUAUAGAGUAUAAAUAGAUGAAGGAAGAGAGAAAAGUAAGGGUAAUAUUGGUAAUAUGACAAAUUUUUUGAUUCAACUCGAUCGUUUUUUUUUAACUCAGAUCGUGACUCAACCAGAAAUCGUGAUUAAAGUCUAAUAAAAACCUUUCUUAUGACUAAAGCCUAAUUACGUACAUUAACCUAUGACCAAAAUUAAAAACAUACAAGGCUUCUUUGGGCUCCCAACACUAGCAAAGUGCCACCAGACUAAUUGAGCGCACAGACCUAAUCAACCCCUGUGGACUUGUAAAAAACAAACAACAUUUUGAGAAGAAGUGUGAUCAAUAUUAAUCCUUGCACGGCUGCACCAAAAACUUCCCCACCAAAAGCUUUUUGCAUCUUAUAUAUGAAAAUAAGGAGAAGGAGGACCGCUUGUGCAAGAAUGAUUAUCGUAACAUUUUGAUUUGUUGUAUCCUCAACUCUCUGCAGCAUCUGAUCUAACAAUGAUUAUCCAUCCACAAAACCUUUUAAGAUAAAGACACACACACAUAUAAAUUCAAUCAGCUUCAACAUACCAAAAGUUGAAAAGGCAGCAUGAACACAACAUAUAUAGGCAGCAAGGUGAGUUGGAAUUGAGAGGGUAGAUCAUUAUAAAACAAUAGAACAGAAAAAAAAAAAAAAAAAAAAAGGGGAUAGAAAGAAGAGAUGCAUGUUAUGGCAAUGAAGAUGGGGACAACAACAGCAAGUCAUGCUGGUUCAGAAACAAUGUAGCUCGACUUCAAAUUAAAUGAAAGCAGAAGAAGACAGCAUGAGUCAUGAGAAAUAGCUAGACUUCACCAUUUUAGUGGAUACAUAAUCUCAAAUUUUGCUCACUUUUCAAGUUCAGAAUUCAGAGCUGUUUCACUGUUUAAGACUUUUCAGAGAGUAAACUGACUUUCUUACAUCAGUACUUCACCUUUGAUUCUGUUGUACAUAUUAUCUUUGACUUUGGGUUGCAUAUUAUCUUUGACUUUGGGUUGCUAAUAAGCAACCCAUUUUUAAAAGAGUUGCAUCUGUGCAUGCAAACCAAAGUCCAAGUCCAUUCUCCAUUCUCGAACUCUCAAGUUUGUUGUUUUUUCAUUUGGAUUUAUUUCAGAGUAUUUGAUUGUAAGCUACACUACAGCAGUUUGCAAAACUGUGUAGAACAAAAUGGCCAAACUACAUCAUCACGAUAUACAGUAGAAUCUCUUUAAAUUAAUAGUGUCGGGACUUAUGCAAUUUUAUUAAAAUUUAGAGAUUUUGGGACAUACCCCAUUUUUGAAAAAAAAAUUGAGAUACCCCAUUUCAAGACAGAAGAGAUUUACAGCCGUAGAUUAGUUUUAUGAGGGACGGCUAAGAUAACACCAUAUCUUGAAAUGGGGGUAUCUCAAAAAAAAAAUUCAAAUGGGGGUAUCUCAAAUUUCGACUUUCAAAUGGUGGGUAUGUCCAAAAAUCUCUAAAAUUUAUUAACUUAGAGAGAUUAUUAACUUACCGAGUGUUGAUUUAGCUACUUACUAUGUACAUUGGGACCAGAGAAUUUUAUUAACUUAGAGAGAUAUUAAUGAAUUGAGUAUUAAUUUAAAGAGGUUCUACUGUAUUGCAAAGUAUUAAUGUAGCAUUUGAUGAUACUUUUUACAAAUUAAAAAAAAAAAAUUGUUAAUAUUCAUGGCCCGGAGGCUUACAAGGAUAGGGCCCGAGGGCUUAUAAAGAUAAGGCCUGAAGGCUAGAAAUACUACUAUUGCUGCCACCUAAGCUUUCGCUGAAGAACACCAGACCGCCACAUCAUGUCAUCAUGGGAGCAUGGGUUUCCUAAUCACGAACCAGGCCCAAAGGCUUUGACCCACCUAAGGAUUACAUGAAAAAUUCCCUCAAACGCUCUUGGUGGGAAUUGACCUCACAACCUCUCCCUCGUGGGAGUGUUUGAGAGGAGUACCAAAUCAACUGAGCCAGCAGGAGUAACAAGCAUUUGAUGAUAUUUAGGUGUUGUUUGUUUUUUCAAGUUCUAAUAGCUAGUAGCUUAUAAGCUAUUAGAUGUCUAAUACCUUAUAAGAUAUGUUGUUUGUUUUUAUUUUGAAUAAUUUCUUAUAAGCUCUACCUGUUUGUUUUAACCACUUCUGAAUCUAUUUAUAUAUUCUUUUUUUACUAAUAUACCCUCGUUAAAAAAAUGGACUUAUGUUCUAUAAUUAUUUUAUUUUACUACACAUAGAAAAAUUCUAAUGAAAUAAUAUUACAGUAUAAUAAAUAAAUGUAUCUCUUAAUGAAUGAAUACAAUAAAAUAAUUUUUAAAAUAAUAGAAAAAGACCGCGAAAAUAGAACAAACAUAACCCAUGUAAAUUUUCAGUUUUGAUUUUGGUUUGAAUAGUAAUUUUAAUUAUUAUGAAGGGUUUUAGAUGUAAUUUUAUAUCUUAUCAGAUAUUUCUACUAGCUAUAAGCUCCAUCCUGGAGCUUAUAGUAACCGCCUACUAACUAGUGAUUUUUUACUAGAAAAUCUUAUAAGCCCAAAAAAACAAACGGGCUUUUGGCUGAUCCAGUAGCUUAUAAGCUACUAGCUACUAGAAAAGUGGAAAAACAAACAGCACCUCAAGCUCUUUAAUCAACAAAAGUAAUUGUACAAAAGUACUUGUACAAAUGUUGAGGGAUGGGUCAUCAUUGUCCAUGUCAGAUUAGUUUGUCCAUGUCAGUCUCCUAGUAAGUUAUUUGUCCAGGUUAGAAGUCCAUGUCAUCAAUCUAAGUAGUGUGUUCGUUAUAAGAGUUGCGUUCCUUGUUUAAAGGUUUUUAAGGUUAUGGUUUAGAAUUGAGGGAAGUGGAGUUAUGGAUUCACACUGUGUGAAGUAGGAUUAUCCAGUAUGAGUUCUUCAUCUGUACAUAAGUUAUAAUGAGGUUAUUUAGCCAUUUAAGGUGUAGUAAUUGAGAGGAUAUAUCAUUAUAAAUCCAUUUCUGUCAAAUGUCAGAACCAACAUGCAUGAUCGAGUUUUGGUUUGUAGAGAGAAAAAAAAAAAUAAUCAAUCAAAGAAAACAGUGGGGAAGUAGACUUGUAAUUCAUUUUGGACUAUACUUUUUUUUUUUUGAUAAAUAAAAUUUUAUUAAUAAAAGAACAAAAAAACAGAUUACAAAACCCAAUCAAUCGGCACAUUAGCACAUUAGAUGUGACACUAGAUCAACAAGCUAAAAGCUACAUGCCUUAAUAUGAGGCAAACAAACUAAAAAAAGACAACUCUUUUUAAGAAAACCUUUAGUUAACUCAGCCAGGUUUACGACCGCCAACUCUUUAAAGAGUUUUUGUUGCCCUUCUGUACUCAUGCCCGUCAAGCCCAUUUCCUUAGCUAAAGGAAGCACAAGAUAAUCCACAAAAUUUUGAUCCACCUCGGAAUCACUUCCUAUCAAGCUAGUAGCAAUUACCGAUAUUUUAGCAGAGUGUUGUUGUUGUUGCUCCAUCAAACUCUCGAAACCAGGAGGGUAAUCCCUUUUUAGCGAAGGCUGACGACUGUGAUUUUCUAUUUUCUUCAUCUUCUUCGUUUUCUUUUUCAUGAGUUUGUCUACAGUUACAUCCCCAAUUGCAAUCUUAUCUGAUAUUUCACCUUCUUCUACCGUUUCUUGAUUCAUAGAUUCCAUGACUCUAGAACAACUAGAAUCUGCCUCAGCAUCUCUCUUACGUGAUGAAGUAUCUGCAUUUCCCUCUUUAGGACAAUGUGCUGCUGUUUGGAAGGAGAAAUCAUGUGUGUUUUCAUCUUGGAUGACCUCGAAAUGGUUACUAAGUGGCAAGACUGGAUCCACACCCGUCGUGGGACUUAUUUUGGCUACAUUCACAUUUUUGUUAGCUAGCCUGACUUCUCUAUCUUUAAGAUUCUUCUCUCUAUGUGUCUUCUUCGGUAAAAUCUAGUUUUGUUGUUGAGUUUUGGUUGUAGCAGCUGAAAUGGUGGUGUUUAGAAUGCACUUUCCUUUAGCAUGUCCAAAAGAUUUGCAGAUUAUACAAAUUAAAGGCUUCCAAGCAUACUUAGCCUCCACAGUAAUAGGUACAGAUUGAGGUAAAUCAGUUUCCGCUUUCACUUCGAUGCAUACACGAGCAAAAGACAACAUUUUCUUGCUCUCUGUGUUCUUAUCUGAGAACAAAGGUUUGCCAAUGGUACUUGCUAUCAAACUCAACCCCUUAAGAUUCCAAAGGUAUUUGGGGACUUUAUGAAAUUUAACCCAAAGUGGAAUGGCUUGGAUUUGCCCUCUAUCUUCUUCAAUUUGUCUAUUCCAUGGCUGAAUUAUGAAAAGCUUUCCCAUGAGAUGGAAAGAGCCCUCAUCUAAGAUAAGUGUUUGAUCCUCAAUGUCAUCGAAAUUGAAAUAAAAUAGAUCACCAUCUAAUAAAAUUUCAAACUGACCUUUAGUAUUCCAUUUCUUCUCGAGCAUGGAUUUAACCAUUGAGUAUGGGAGUUUCUUGUCGAGGAAGAAGCCAACGACCAUGUUCUCCCAUUCUUUAGCACCUUGUUCACACACUUCUUCAUCAAUUUGUAACACUCCAUCAACAAGAUUGGGUAUACAAUAGCUAAGUUUGUCCACUCCUGCAGAUGGUGGUUUAGUUUUCAAAAUUGAGUUCCAUGAAGUAUUAGUCUCUUUAUCUUGCUUCUCCACAAAAGCAUGGUCCAGAUCUGGCAAUUUCACCUCUAAAGAUCCCACCUUUAUCGUCUCUGAGGUGAAUUCUCCUUCAAUUAGUGUAGACUGAGCUUCAACUCCAUGAAAAGAGUCAGUCAUCCCUUGAGCCAGCGGCGAAGGAGUUGGACUAUACAUGUGUUAGUCUUAUUUGUUCUUGCCUUAUCUGAAACUGGCAUUCGGUUGUUUGACAUCAUUUUGUAACUAGUUUAGAAGUGUUUGUAGUUAUCUCACCUUGACUAAAUUGUUAGGUUGAACCUUGAUGUGUGAGUACCAUUAUUGAGUUUUGGUUGGUAGAGAGCAGACGAAGAUAAUAAAUAAAAGAAGACAGUGGUGGACUGGUAGGGAAGUAGACUAUUCACAUUGAGCAUUUGCAGUCUUAUUGGCUUAUUGCUUUGCCCUAAUUACAUAUUAGCUGUGUUUGUGAAUUUGUGUUCCUACACUUAGUUACAUUUAUUCGACAUGGCAAAAUACCGAACAAUAAUCUAGUGCACUGAGCUCCUUUAGGAGGAGCUCAUUCACUGUACCAGCAGAUGCAUCAUUCACUGUACCAGAAAAAUGCCGAACAAUCUAGUUCGGACAUGGGGCAGCUCCGUUGAGUGGCGCGGCUUGAAGGGGUUGAGGACAGGAGCAGCUUGAACUGCAGUCAGUAGAAAAACUAUGAUGUGUACAGAUAUAUUGUGUAUAGAUAGAUUGUAAUUAAUUGAUAGUGUUCCUGGCAUUUAUUUAUUUAUCUUCUUCCUGAAAAUUUCAAAUGUUUGUUGAUGAUCUACAUAUUUUGUUGUAAAUGUAAUUGCAAUAAAUUCAAAACUAAUUUAUCAAAUAUUUAUAUUCUUGAUGAAAAUUUCAAAAGUUUUGAGGAAAACUGUUUCUUUAUGAUUUAUUUUGAUGUAAUGAAAUUGUAACAAAUUCAAAACUAACUUAUCAGAUCCAUCAACAUAAAAAUGUUUUGAACAAUUGUGCAUUAUAUGAUACUAUUUGUUACUAUUAGAUGUAUGGAUCUUUCAAAACAGACAUAUAUAUUAUAAGCUGAAGGGUAAACAAAAUUGAUUAAGAAAAACAAAAUUAAGUGUAUACUUACUUCAAUUGAGAGGAAAGAUCAUUAUAACGAAGACAUGCAACAAGCUACAGCCAUACAGUAUGACCAUGUCGUCUCUUCAACAAGACAACAACGAAGGCUACAACGGCAUGGAAUUUAAGGUAAGGGGGUUCAACAAAAAUUUCUGUCAGAUGUCACAGCAUUGAGGUUUGGUUGGUAGUAAGCAGAUAAACUAGAAGACAGUGCCACAGUGGUAGGGAAGUAGACUUGUGUUUGUGAAAAUCCCAAACAACCUAGUGUACUGCUUGAACUUGCAUGUGACAAACACCAAUACACCAUUAUAUAAAAUCUGCUCUUCUUGAUUCUUUAUUUUCAUGCUUUGUGAAUGAGUCUUUGUGAUGUACAUGCAAAAUUCAGACCUGUUACCUGACACCACCUUUGAUUCUGUUGUACACUCUUGUACCUAGGGGUGCUGAUUGGGGCGGGGGAACAAUGUGCGGGGUGGGGAGGGGUCAAAUAAGCCCCGUUCUUAGAUGGGGCGGGGAACGGUUGGUUGUAAGAAGGUUCACCCCAUCCCUGCCCUGUAUAGGUAGUGGGGCGGUCCGGGGACGGGGAAAAGGUCCCAAGGCAUAUCAUAAAAUUCUCAUCAUGCAAGAAAAAAAAUUCUCAUCAUUCAAAAAAAAGCCUGCAGCUCUGUAGGGAAGUUGAGUGUUUCUACAUACAUAUAAUGAUUUUGGUAUAAGUGUAUAAUGUUGGAAACAGUUUGAACAGAUUCUGUCAGAAAUCUGACAGAAAUCUGACAAGGUUUUGGCUGGACAUUUCGAUGUGUUCUAGAGCUUCAUUGAGCUAGAUCUUGGUACGUAUGGAAUCCUCGUUCCGAGUAGAUGCUCGCAGAAUAUUCAUACGUUUAAAACGGUUCCAUAUUGAAUGAGAAAUUGGUGUCCCAAGUUCCAAACAACUUGAGACAAAGCAAGGAAAAUGUGAUAGUCCCACAUUUGACCCAUGUAGAUAAGGUUUUGUCUAGAAAAACCCCUCAUGUACAAUAAGGGUGUGGCCCUUGGGGUUACAAUGUUUUCGCGCGUUGGGCGUAACCUUACAUGGGCUUGGGCUUGAAAAACACACACACGCCGUCCGACCGACCCGGCUUGGGUUUGGGUCUUGGUGAUCCAACAUAAUCUUUUUGGUAGAAAGGUCCAUUGGAAUAAAUCCCAAUAGGUGCAUACCUAUUCCGAACCGGUUUGCUACUGGUUCGGCCCAGAUAGGUGCAACCUUUCAUAAAACUGUUUCGGGCCCAAAAGUUGUGUCCCUUGAUGAAACUGUUUCAAGCCCAAAGUGUCUGUUAAGCCUAGAUGGGUGUGUCUGUUCAAUGAACUGUUUCGGCCCAUUAGGUGUGCCUGUUCAAUGAACUGUUUCGGCCCAAGUGUCUGUUCACUUAGUUUUCUCUUGCUAUAAAUACCGUGUCUGCAUCAUUCAUUCGAAAACAUCAUAUUCAUUGUCUCUGUUUGUGUCCUUGAGAGAGUUACAUCACUGAAUUGGUUCGCCGUCUUCGUUUUGUUUGAAGUGCUGCUACACGACGAAGGUAUUGAUCGUUGUAUCCUGAGAGACAGUUUGCAUUACACCCAUACAGCACCUGUUGGGGCAAAUUAUGUCUUAAGGACAGAGAUUUUCUCGACUCGAUCACAUCAUACUGUCCUUAAUUACAGUUCUGGUUUGCAUACUUUAUUUAUUCUGUUUCACUUAGAAUUAUACUUAUGCAUUACUAACAUAUUGCCCAACAUAUAACUCGGUAGGAAAAAAUACUUUGUAAAUUCUUUCCCAUUCACAUAAAAAACAUCCACAAAUGUAAACAUGGGAGUGACAUCCACUGUGACACUGAUACAUUACAUAUUUACAUAUGAUACUGAAGGCUCAUGCAGGUAACUAAAAAUUUAAAUGUAAAGUAACACAAUGUAUUUACACUAAUUCUCAAUAAUCACGUUCAUAUUAUCCCUGUCAAAUUCAAGAACAUGUUCAGUAACUAGGGAAGAUUGCGGAUUUAGAUUUUACACUAGGGAUUUAGAUGGAGAUAUGGGGGCGGGGAACGGGGUGGGGUUUCAAUCUAUAGUAUGAAACCUAUCCCUACCCUACUACCACCUGGGGCGGGGCGAGGAGAUAGAAAACGGGACAGGGACCAGGGCGGGUCAGGGUCACAGGGCAAGUUCAGCACCCCUACUUGUACCAUUCUAUCUUUGACUUUGUUACACUCUUGUACCACUCUUGUACCAACCUAUCUCAAAAGCUAACAUGCAUUGUUGUUUUAAAUUUGAACCUAAUUCAAACUUUAUUGAAAUUGUUGAGCUAAUGCAACUUGCAAAAUUAUGUAGAACAAAAUGGCCAAAACUACGUACGAUUUGAUGAUACUGUCUGUGGCGCAUGUUACCAUGAUAAGGUAUACAUUCAGAGCCAAUGAAAGUAUUUAGAAUCCUUUAUUAGAAAAUAGUAAUACAACAACUAAUCGAUCGACGUUAGGAGUUCCAUUAUACUUAGUUGGAAAAAAAAAGUGUCAGUCCGUCCACUUCGAUAAAAAAGAAACGAAAAAAAAAAAAAUUUCUCUUAUGGGAAUUUUAGACUUAACCCUCCCCCACCCCUUUUAUGGUCACGUUUUAAAUAAACCCCCUCAUUUAUCCAAGUUUGGACUUUGCCCCCUCUUCUCUGCUUCUACAUUGAAAGACACUAAAUUAAAUAAUAAAUUUUUCGAUCAUCAAUUUUAGCUAAGAAAUUCGGUUUUGGAGCUUUUUAUAAAGAUAACUUAAUUGACACAAGUAUGAAACCUAAUAGAACUUGAAUUACUUAUUCCAUAAGAUAUGUAUUAUCUUUUAGCAACUUCCUAAAUCUAAUAGGACUUAAAAUAAGCCUUUUAGACACUCUAAAUAAUAAAAACGAAAAUAACAAUUUAGAAAUAUUAUAUAGGCUUCUAAAUAAAUCAUAAACCCAAAUAGAAAACCAAUUGGUGUAUGUGUUAUGUCCUACAUCAGUAUUUGACACUUAUAACGCAUAAGUAUACUUGUGCUAUAAUGUAGGUAGGGAUCUUCGGUUAGGUAGUUAGAAUCUAGUAUUCAUGGAGUAGGCAUUUUUGAUAAAGUUUAUUUGGACUAUUAAUUUCUUUUGACUUUCUUAACGGUUCAUCAUAGAAUCAUGAUAACUUUUGUUGUUAUAAAUAUAAUUUUUUUGCUACAGCUUGUUCCAUGUUGCCAAAUGUAGAUUGUAGUUGAUGUUUCUAAUAAACAUCAUUUAAUACUGUGAAGCAUGAUCUAGAUCUACUCGAAAGUGAGCAAGCCUAUAUACUUGAGUCCGGAUAUAGGGGACAAUUCUCUGAGGCUAUGUUAAUUUUUAUCCCACCUAUCACCAAUUAAAUGCCCACUUAACAGUAGUUAUGUCUUUGUUAACAUGUUUUUCUUUUUUCUCUCUUUUUUUAUUUUUUAUUUUUUUCUAUUUUCUUUCAAAAAUUCUAAUAAUUCUUUUGGAAACAAGACCCGAAAAGGUAAAACUUCCCACCUCUCUCUCUGCUUGUCCAAGUUUUUUUUUCUUUAUCCUUUCGCCUAUAUAAAUCGAAAACUUAUGUUCUAAAAUGACAUUAAAUAAAAUUUCUCUAAUUAAUAUGUUUGGCUUUGCAUUACAAGUUUUAUUUUGUUAGCAAGUCGAUCAUAUCGUUUCAACAAUUAUGUAUAACAUCAAAAAUUGAUCAAACAGUCAUGCAUGUAAUAAUGCAUGUAGUAGUGUAUAGAUGAUAUGCGGAUAGAAAAUUGAUUAUCAUACCAACUCGUACUUCAUUUAAGCUUCCAAUAAUUCAAUCCCAAUUAAAAAGAAGCAUUGUCGCGGCCUUUUUGGAGAUACAAUGGUGGAGCAGAAUGAUGGGAUUCAAUGGUCAAUUUGUUCACUGAUAUUAGUAGUGCAAAAAAAAAAAAAAAAGAAUUGCUCUUUUGCAACAUUAUUAUUUGCAACGCUCCGAGAGUGUUGUUAGUGGUUCGUUGUUGCAACGCCUAAUCAAAAUCGUCAUAUUCAAAAAUAUCUUUGAGCAACUAAUUUAGCAACGUUUACAAGCAUUGCAAAUAUAUUUAUCAAUAUAUUUUUUCUUUAAAAAAUAAUUUUAAAACUUAAAAAUAACAUUUGCAACACUUUGUACAUUGCAAAUAAGAAAAUUAUAUUUGCAACACUUAAUAAUGUUGCAAAAAUAUUUUUUUUAGAAUUUAUUUUUUAGUUUUUAUUAUUAUUGAUUAGCAACGCGGCUUAUCGUUGCUAGUACUUUGUCAUUAGCAACGUUGCUACCAUUGCAAUUGAUGGCUAGUCUUUCUGCAACUCUUCUGCCGUUGCAACUAGAAUUUGGAUAAAAACUUAUUAUUAAAUAAUAUUGAAAUACAGUAACCACGUUUUAAGCUUUGCAAUUAGCGUGCAGUAGUAUUGCAACAUUAAUGGCGUCACAAUUGAGUUAAAAGUAUUACCAAUUGCGACGUUACAAUUACCAAUACAUCAAUAUCAACGUAAUUUAUUGUUGCAAUAGCCCAAAUAAUAGCAACACAAUUUACUGUUAUUAAAGCGUUGCACUUGUUUUAGUAGUACCGACACUUAAAACGUUACAACAGUGAAUUAUUAUUAGAAGAAAAAUAAAAUAGACUCCCUUCCACGUAUCUCUCUACCAGUUGCUAUACGAGGCUUCACACAAGAUAUUGCAGACCUCCAAGGUGAUUAGUCCUAAAUACAGUAUAAUUGAGAUUCUUACAUUAAUAAUUGUCAAGAAGUGAAACAUUGGGUGGCAGGGGUGCAAGAGGGUUUUGAAUGACCCAGGGAUCUCUUGCAUCAUCAUCCUCGAUCCACAAUAGACCCAGUUGUGUCUCUUCCUGAAAAUGGCGAUGAACCCUCCAUUCCUAACCGGUGUAGUUAUCAACAAUCUCCAAACUGGCACGCAGAUCCUACACAUUGUCAAAAGCUAAAAAGCUUUGUUGAAUGAAGUUCUCAAGUGCCGUGUCAUUAGGACAUCCAGCAGGGGGAGCAACUGUCCCAUUUGGGUACAUCUGACUCAUAGCAAAAAGACCGAGUCGAAUAGUAUCCAUGUUCCCAACCAACUGAGCUGAUCGAAAACCGAAGAGAGAAUGCGAUAAACUAGACAAUCAAUUCACAGAAUGCAAAGAACACUGUUGAUUGAAGACAACAGUGUCAACAGAUUUGAUUUGACAAGAUGCACAUACCAAAUAGAUAUGCAUUAAAAGAGUUAAAUAGAUGGCGCUAUGGAACCCUGUAGCAGUUAUUUCGUGCGAAAUGGUUUGGUACAUUACGGUGGGGACAAAUAUGGACCAAGCAUUUUUCCAUGUGUAGAAACUUAGCAACCUGUUACCUGUUAGCUUAAAGUCAACAAAAUUUUAUAAAAAAUAUUAUUUUAACAGGUGUGGACUCCAGAAAACGCAACUACCACUUUGCUGUCCGAAUUCCGACGUGUAGAAAGAAUUAAUUAUCAGAUCUUUAUUUCAUUGUCUUCCCAAAAACUAAUGUUGUCUGAAACUUAACUACAGUUCAAGCUUUGAGCGGCGCGUCUACCCUUCUUGCUCUUGCCAGUAUAUCAACGGGGAUUUCCAUCUUUGUCUACUAAUUCAAGAUUGAAGUUAAGGUUAGUGAGAUCUGUUUUGCAUUUCGUUUUUGAAGGCUUUAUUUUACUACUUCAAGUUCAAUCAGGAUUUCAAACAAACCGAGAUCAAGAACAAAAUCUUGUUAGAUUUAAUUUCAUCUAAACAAUGUGUAAUAUAGAAAUAAAAACAAAACUAACUAGGCAUCUUUCAGGCUUUUAGGGAUCGAUCACAUUAUUUCAAGUUUGAAUGGUUUUAAUUGUUUUUAUGGCUUGAUGAUGUGGUACUUCAAAUUCAAAUUCAAUUUUUUUUUUUUUUUUUGGCUAAUGAUCUGUAAACAUCUUGACUGACUCAACAAUUGCCUUAACUAGCCAUUUUAGGGGUUAGAUAAAAUAGAUAGAUACGUAGAUAAUAAUAACAUAUCCCGUGUGAAAAAAAGUCUAUUGGUGUCUGGGUUGGUGUGAUAAGAUGAUCUUGCUAGUGAAUGAAUUCCUUGAGGGAAAUACACAAACCAUUGUACGUUUUGUUGUGUCUGGGUUUUGAAUACAAGCCUAAUCCUUUAAAUGCACAAAUUUUCCAGCUUUUCAGACCUAUUAAGCCCCAAUAUUAGCUUUUAUUAGAUUAGAUAUAAUUGAAGAAGCCAAACAAUGUGUGUGUAAUAUAAAAAUAACUAGACAUCUUUCAGGGAUCGAUCACAUUGCUAUGUCGGCCUUCGUCGAUGAAUUUGUUGAAGAUUUUAGUGAUGAUAGUGAGGCUGAGGGUGACAAUCCUAGGAGAAGGAAUGCAGAUUUUCUAUAUAAAGUGGGUUUAAGGCUGCAAGAUGAAAUUCAUGACGAUAUGGGUGAGAUUUCUGAUGAAGAUAUGUUAAGGGCACGAUUCAAUACAGAUGAGGAUGCGUACUUUUUUUAUAACGAGUAUGCCAAGUUUAAAGGGUUUAGUGUGCGCAAGGACCACAAGACGGUAAUAGAUGGUAGAACCCGCAGAAGAAGAUUUAUCUGUUCAUGCGCAGGUGUUAGAGCAGGUAAAUGGACGAAUCUGCACAAGCGAAGAAAAAAAGCACGUCGGUUAACCCGAUGCAAUUGUCCUGCAGCAAUGAACAUAGUUUAUGAUGAUGAAUUAAACAUGUGGACAGUGCGUGGUUUUAUAUCCCAGCACAACCAUGUUUUGGCACCACCUGGUGGUUCACAUUUCUUAAGAUCCCAUAGAAAAGUGAGUCUAAGCAAUGCAGUUUUAGCCCAAAACCUUUAUGCAUUGGGAGUGAGUAAAAAAUUAGUUAUGGAUAUUAUCAUCUCAGUCUGGCAGUCAUGCAGCAGCCGGUUGUACUGCCAGAGACUUGUACAAUCAAAUGAACAGAGCAAGGGUUGAACGCAUUAUCGAUGGGGAUGCCAAUCUAGUGAAUUCUUUUUUGGAGGAUAUGAAUGUGCGUGAUCCUGGGUUUUUCAAAAAGAUCCAAGUUAAUGAAAAAAAGCAGUUAACUAAAUUGUUUUGGUCUGAUUCCCAGUCGCAAGAGGAUUACAAGCUCUUCGGUGAUGUGCUUAUGUUUGACUCAACCUACCGUACCAAUCGGUAUGACAUGCCCCUUGUUGUAUUUGCUGGAGUGAAUAACCACCGACAUACUGUCAUCUAUGCCCUUGCACUGAUGAAUAAUGAGACGAUAGAUUCUUAUGAAUGGGCCUUGAAAACCUUUCUUGCAGCAAUGGACGGUAUCGCUCCUAAAUCGGUGAUCACGGAUGGUGAUGCGGCCAUUCGCAAUGCUAUUGAAAAUGUGUUUCCUAAGAGUAAACAUCGGUUGUGUGUGUGGCACGUUGUCCAGAAUGCAACUAAUGUUUGGACUGAUGGAUUUGUCAAAGGCUUUGUUGAGGUAAUGUUUUGUAAGGGUCCUCCAGAUGCUUUUGAGAAAAAGUGGGCAGAAUUGUUAAUUGAAUACAAGACUGUCGCUGAGCAGAAGUGGGUGCACAAUAUAUAUGAGAAAAAGGAAAUGUGGGCAGAGGGCUAUUUAAGAGAGUAUUUUUUUGUCGGGUGUAGAAGCAACCAGCGGUGCGAAAGUAUUAACUCUGUUGUGCGGCUAUGCGUAAAGUCUGGCCUAACCUUGAUUGAGCUUGUAGAUAAAUUGCUGCAGAAAAUUAGGCAUAUUCACUACCGUAACUUUGAAGCAGAGGUUAAUACUACCAUGACCAGGUCAGCACAGAUUCCCAACUUGACUCUCAUUGGGGAACAAGCUGAAGCAUUGUAUACUCGAGCAGGUUAUGAAUAUCUUUUUAAGCAAUUGUUGCGUGAGCGGUCGUAUGUUGUAAAUGAGUCAUAUGAGGAUGGAGAGGACAUAAUCAAAUACUUGGUGAACCGUCAUAUGCAUCCUAAUGCCCCGGCGACUGUCGAAUACAACAGAGAAAAUGAUGCAUACAAUUGCACGUGCAAGCUAUUUGAGAGAGUUGGCUUUCUAUGUAGACACAUACUUGCAGUUUUAAAGCAUACACAUGUCAAAGCAUUGCCCAAAAGCUGCAUUCUGCACAGGUGGACCCGAGAAGCUAAAUCAUCAAGUAUAGAUUUUGGAACAAACCCAACAACUUCAAGCAGGCUUGGUUUUGUACUUCGUUUAAAGGAGCUUGAGGAAUAUAGUCGUGACCUGUUUAUGUGGGGAUGUGAAUCAGUACAGUAUUGUACUAUGGUUAAAGCCCACAUUGCAGCUUUUGACAAAUGUGAGCCGGAAGAGGUAGCACAAGGGUUUGAUGAAACACCAGUCCCGGAAAAUCCUUUGGGUUUUGAGGAGGAGGCGGUUGCGUCUACUCCUCAACAGUCCUUCCCCCCUAACAAUAUUGUUGAUCCACAACGCGAUCUAGGAAGAAGAGGUGGCCCAAGAAAGGCAAAGCGCAAGAUGUUCCACCAACGUACAUCCACAAGGUGUGGAAUUUGUCAUAUUGUUGGCCAUUCAAGGAGGACAUGCCCUAGUAAUUAUCUCUCCCUAGAUUUUCUUAAUUUGGGUCUUGUUUGUUUGUAGUUUAGAGUACAGAGUAGUGUAGUCAUAUGAUUACAUUAUGUAUCUGAUAGGCUAAACUGUCGAGUUAUGCAGCAAAGUAGGGUCGAAUUCCCAACUUAUGCAACCAACUAAAUUAGGUUUAAAAUCAUCAGCAAACUUUUAUGUUUUCCCAAUUUAUGCAAUGCCGUCAACUGAAAUCUAACAGCCGUUAUCUUUUUGCUGACUGGAAGAUUUUUAAUAUUAAAAAAUAUUUUUUCUUAAAAAAAAAAAUUAAUAAUUAAAAUAAAAUAAAAUUGGUUUUAUUUCAAACGAAGUUAAGUCUUUGGAUUCUAAACCCCAAUUUUUCGUUUUUCUACUUCUCAAUCUCUUUGUUUCAUUAAAAACAACCAUAAUUUUAAAUUAUUUUUUUAAUCAUGUAAUCAUUGUUUAAUUUUGGGUUUUGCUUUUAAAAAUCUAUUUUUUGCUUACUUUACACAGUCAGCAAUAAUUAUUACACAGUCAAUAAUAAUAAAAUUUAAAAAAUAUACAGUCAGCAAUAAAUUAUUACACAGUCAACUAUAAAAAUUAAAAAAAAAAAAUACAGUCAGCAAAAUCUAACAUCUGUUAAGGGAUUGGUAACGGCAUUGCAUAAAUCGCAAAAACUUAAAAGUUUGCUGAUGAUUUUAAACCUAAUUUAGUUGGUUGUAUAAGUUGGGAAUUUGACCCUACUUUGUUGCAUAACUCGAUAGUUUAGCCUAUCUGAUAUGUACAACUACUUACACGUCAUUUGUUGUGUUUUAUCAAUUUUGUGAUGUGUAGGUCUACUUAGUGAUGAUGAGGUCACUGAUCAUGAAUAUGGUUCUGAAGGAGGUAUUAUUUAUUUGUUUGACCGUGGCUAUCAGCAUUUUUGCUUUGUAUCCCUGAUUUUUUAGCCCUGUUCAUAACAUGAAUGAGACAGGUGAAACAACGGGAGUGUUUGCUGAUGUGCCCCCAGAAGUAACAUCGUCUAGAAAAGCUCCAACAUGUAGCUUUUGCAAUGAAGUGGGUCAUAGGUGCAAUGCUUGUCCGCGUAGACAUAAACACCAAAGUAAGAUAUUUUAUUAGUGUACUAAAUAACUAACUUGUAUGUCUAUAGGGUUUGGGUCCUUUAUUUAGUGAAUGACUAAUUUGCGAUGCUAUAUUGAGGAUUUUAAUAUCUUAUUUUCUUUUCAUUUGUCUAUAGGUACCGAUUCACCCAUUGCGGGUGUUGUCGUUACGGAUAUGGGUGACGCGUAUUUGCACACUCAACCAAAUGGGGAUGUUUUUUGGAGUCUUAAACACUGACGAUGAAACAAUGGUUUUAAGUUUUCAAUUAGUAAUUAAGAAAUAUUUGAGACUUAUGUAUUCUUAAAUUUAAUUUCAUACUUCUUCUUGUCAUUGCGCACUAUGCAUAGUCUUCACCGUCAAAAUAUUGAUUGUGGUUAGAGUAAAUUUUUUACUUUUUUUAUUUUUAUUUUUUCUUAAUUUCCAAAUGGGGGUUUGGCAUGGACCCCUACCUGUGCAUUAAUAAAACGGGGGAGGAGGGGACAUAAAGCCUAACCCUUAAAAACAGAGAAAGGGCCUGAGGCCAGUGUAAGGCCCAAAGGCAAACAACCAGGGCCUUUCCAACAACCUAUCUAUAGCCUAGCGCCCUAGCCUAGUCUAGGCCUGACGGAUCAGAGGAGUGGACUUGAAAAAAGGUGCCAACCCCCACUUACUUAGCAUCAGAGGAGUGGACUUGAAAAAAGGUGCCAACCCCCACUUAAUUAGAUUAAAUCCAUCUAAAUUUUUGGUUUUACAUUUUUUGUGUACUCAUUAAGAGAUGUGAAAUAAUAUAUAUAAUAAAUCACAAUAAGUUCAUGCCUACACACAACCCGGUCCAACACUUUUCCACCAAAAUAAAACAUAAACAUGUCUAACCUGCACAAAUAAUAUGUCCAUGCACAAACAAACAAAACAACAAUAUAUCCAUCAUGCAACUUUAAAAUUCAUCGAAGCAAGACUUAUCAACACAUCGAGUCUGUCGAUCCAUCCGAACCAUCACCGGAAAUGUAUUCAUCACUUACAAAAUCAGUGUCGUCACUGUUUUCAACUGACAAACUUGGAUCGUCACUGUCAAAAUCCGAAUUAAGCUCGACCGGGUUCUCUUGAUCCUCACUAGAUAACACCUCAUCUUCUUCAUUGGUCCAUUCCGAUGACACAUAUUCCACAUAACUAGAAGCAUGAACUUGACGACCUCGGCCACCAUCAGUGGCUCGUCAUGCUGAAGAUGAAGGUUGGCGACAGUGUGGACUACCUCGAGAAGUUGGAGGUGCAGUAGCAGGUUGUCGAAGAUGACGACGAGUAGAUGGACCAACUGCCUAUUGAGCAACCUGCCUCGGACGACCAUGGCGACGAGAAGCAUAAGGUAGUGCCUGGUGGUGUUCUUGGGCACGAUGAUUGGAUGGCGGUGCCCGCGGUGCAGCAGCUUGCACAAAGCUUGGACGGCCUCGACCAACACCAGGGGAUCGUGGUGCUGAAGUUGAUGUUUGAUGACUGCGUGGAGUACCAUGACGACGAGUAGAAGGACCAACUUCCUCUAGAACAACGCUCCUCAGAUCAGCACGAGUGCGUAUGCGUAUCAUGAAGGUAGGAGGUAGGGGAAGAGGAGGGGAAGGGGAAGGGAAACCUUGCCUAUGCCCAUGCCUGGGUUUGCGUGCUACCUGCAGUUUAAAGGUGUGGUGCCAUAUUUAAUAAUAAUUAAAUAGAUCUCAAAUUAAUCUACCAAAAAACAAAUUACCUGGAGUUUGAAAAUGGUGACGCCGGGUGGCAGUUUUGCCAGUUUUUGUUCCCUUCUCAUAUGUUGAAAAAGCACGCGAUCCCCAACCCUGAGAUCCAAGUCCCUGACAACCUUACUCCAGCAUGCACCAUUGAUGUACCAGUUGUGGUUGUUAUCAUAGUGGACAGAACCUCUAAAAUAUGGGUGACCCACAGUAGAGAUAAUGAGAUUCUGUCCAUCCCUGAGAUGUUUUUGCAAUUUUUUGGGGAAGGCCUGCAAUUAUUUAAUUAAAAGGAUAAUAACCACAAUUUAAAUGAUGUAUUUUUAAUAUUAAAAAUGAAAAUCAAUUACGAUACAAACAACAAUAAUAUUUUUUAUUACCAUCCUCGUGUUCCUACAGUGGUAUCCAACAUUCCAACGUUUCAGUAUUACGGACCACCACCUUUCAGGAUCAUGGGGAAAGAACACUGGAUGCAGCGUUUCUGGUGGUCGAGGCAUCUGCGUAUUUUAUUUGAUAUAAAAAAGACAAAAAAAAUGAUUGUAGAUCCAACCUUACAAUUAUAUGUACUCGGGUUUUGUUAAAACACAAUGCGCAAAAAUCAGAUAAUAACCCUCAUGGGUGUACACAACAACAUUAUCCCAUAUUGUUUGUGUUAAGUACAAAGCAAAAUACAUUACCCACGAAUGAAAUUCAUAGGUUUCAUAAAUACAACCAACAUCAAAGUACAAACAAAAGUUUAAGUAAAACAACAAUCAUCAAAACUAGCAGUACAAUGAUAAAUGACUUCACCCACUUCAACCAACUGCCGCCGUCCACAACACAAGGAACCAGAAGACUACUUUCUUGAGCAGUGGACACAAGCAAUUCUUUUGGUUCAAUGUGAUCACUAGGCCUUCCGGAGUCAUCCGUUCCCCUAAAUCGACUGUCUCGGCAUUCGUUGCCACUGAAGGCACGCAUAGCUUCUUCUAGAGAAUGAACACCCCAGAAUAGAGGAUUCUUAAACCCUUUGGUUGUUUCUUCACACGACUCCCAGGUACGAUAGAUACCUGGACGCUUCCCUCGUUUAACAACAUAGAAUGGAUAUUUACCCAUUGUUCUGUAUAUACAUAGUAGUUUGUGCUUUAUUAGACUAAAACAACUAAAUCCAAGUAUCAUUUAAUUAUAAUUCUACUGUACAAUUUUUUAUUAAUCCAAAGUAAAAACAGAUCGCUCCUAGUUCUAUUAUACAUAUGAAUAUAUGAUCUCUGAUUUUGUAUACGCGUAAGCAAUAAAUGAAUUCGAUGUCAGGAACAUAUCCACCUGCCUAGCUAGCUAGUGUGUAGAUGAAAAUGGUAGUUCAUAAUAAAUUGGCAGACAAUAGAAUUGUAGUAUGCACAUUUGGAUCAUAUCCAUACAAUCAAAUAACCCUACUAUUGAAAAUAUAAUAGUAAUAUAAGUUAACAUCAAUGUUUUAAAAAGAUAUUUUGAGAACUGAGGCAGUUCAGUUAAUUGAAGCGAGGUCAUACGCCUUAAAGCGGAAUGAGGCGUAAGCCUCAGUUUUUAUUAAAUAAAAUAAUAAAUCCAGAAAGAAUGAAAUCAUAACAAUUCAGAACAUGUUAAGACAUAUAGUACCAUUUGGUAACAAUCAGUACACAAAGCUUUUAAUUAAAAAGUUUAUACACUUCACCUAAUAAAAAGUCUGUUAAAAGUGUAAUGAUAGGUAAUUGACCUUUAGUAAAACGAACUAAGAAUAGGAUUAUAGGAAGUACAAAUCUCAUUGACAAAUCGAGGAUCUUAUUCUUGGGUUUCCGAAUUGUGAAGUUACAAAAUCUAUUAAUUAUAAUGCCAAAUCUGGAAGUAGAAUAAUUAAUUUGUAAGUUUUUUCAUUCUUAACAAAAUCUCCAUCACAAAAUCAAAUCAUUUUUAGAAUAUGAUCAGGUUGACAGGGAUAUGCAUUAGAGGCAUAUGCCUCAGUGCCUUAUAUUACCACCUCACUUCGAGGCGCGCCUCAAGGCUCCCCUCAAAAACGCCUUUUUAAACCAUGGUGAACAUAUAAUUAUGUAUACGAACGAAUCAAGGAUAGAUCACUUAGCUCUAGAAAAAAACAUAUAAUUAAAUUACUUGCGUGUUAUAUAAGUAAAAUAGACAAUAAUAAGUUGAAUACCUUUAGAGUUCAGAUACAAACAGGAGGAGAAGUUGUUUGUCCACGCGGUAUCAACCGCAGAGAACUAUCUCAAGCAUACGAACGAACGUUUUGCAAGUUUGAGAAACAAAAAAAAUACAUGAUUGAUCAAAUUUCGCACAAGGAAUAAAAACAGAGAAUAUACAAUUCUUUAGCUACUAACCCUAAUCAUGAUCAUGUUCACAUAUAUAACUUAAUAAUACAUAUUUCAUAUAUAUAAAAUUUUGAUAAGAUUAAUAAGACAGAUCAUGUUCAUAAAUAAAAACACGCACUUCGUUCAAGUUCAAAACAAAGUUGAAAAUGUAUUGAAUCUACAAAAAAAAUUCCUACUUCAGCACAAAAUAAAAAUAAAACCUUUAUGAGUUUGGUCAUAAGAUUUUUGGUUAAAAACCAAAAAUAACUUGAUUAAAUAGAUAGACCAGAUUUUAAUGCUUGAAAGGGGGGGGGUUUGAGUUCAACCCAAGGAUUAAAACAAAUGCAACUAUUAAAACACCUUUAAAUUAAAUCCCAAAACUUGAUUUUUAUAAACCCUAACCUUAGCCCCCAUAUUCGACCAUAUUUCCCCUCUCUAAAACCCUAGCCCUAAACCUCAAAACUUGAUUUUUAUAAAACCCUAAUCUGCACAAGCAAAUUCUACCACAUGUUCACAAUAAAACAACAAGUAGAAACCCUAACCCACAAACAUGCAAGAUAUAUGAUAAGUUUGCUAUUUUCCAUCAAACAAUCGCAACUGUGAUGGGAAAAUUGAACAGAAAACUAAACAUAAAAACAAGCAAGAAGGUACUUAUAGUUUGAAAGUGUGAAAAGUGCUUCAAAACCGGCUAGAAAUCAAGCAAUAAUCGUCGUCAUUACCGCCGUUGUCGCUUUCUCACUGUUUCGACCAAAUGUUUAAUUAGGUUACUGAAAAGGGAAGUUCUAAACUUAUAUAUUCUCUAGGGUUUUGUCUGUUUAUUAAAAGGCCUUUUGUUUUUUAACAAGACACAAGUGGUCCAGACUCCAGACAGGCUUAUUAACAUUAUAUAAAUAUAUACACAAGUGGUCCAGGCAGCCUCAUAAAGUACAUACACAUGUGGUCAAGGUAGCCUUGUGAAAGUACAUAGACAAGUGGUCUUGGCAAGUCCAAUUCAAUUAAUUUUAGUAGUAGAUGGUAGAUGGUGGUUUCUAAAAUUCCAAGUGGUCUUGGCAGGUCCAAUUAAUUUUAGUAGUAGGUGGGGGUUUCUAAAAUUCAAUUCAGGUUCUAUAAAGAUGAACAAAAGAACCCGACAAUCUUCUAUGGCUGAAAGAAAGAGUGAGGUCACAAACUUGAAUGAAACUGUGUUUACUAUCUGUGAGGAACAUUUGGAGAGUAUGGAUGCUUCAAAGACUGAGUCUGAUUUGGAAAUACAAGCGGCACAAUGGAAGAAAACUUGCGAAAAAUGUCAAGGUGCUGCUUUUGCUUGGAAUUUGUUUCAAGAUGUAGAAGGUAUGGUACUAUUACUAUGGAUAUUCUUUGUUAUUAAAAAAAAAAAAAUCAGUUAUAAGAUAUUGUAUAAAAUAAAUGAUGAUUUUGUGUUUGACCUAAAUAGAAGUUAGCCCUAAAGUGAAGAGGGCUAUUUUUUCUCCUAAGAUUAGUGAUGAUAUGAAAAACAAUGGUCAUGAUUUUCCUAAAAAGGAGACGGCUAAAGAAGAACAUGAAGGUGAGGUAGUUAGUUUAGAUAUAAUUAAUUAUUAUUUUCUUUUUAUUUGUAUGUACUUUUUAGGACAAAAUGUGAUGAGGUAGUUAGUUUAUAGUUUGUAUUUCACCAAUUAGCUAUUUUUUUUUUAUUGAAUUUGAUAUGAACAUUUUUUUUUAGUUGCAGACGUUGAUUGUGAUGCUCCUGAAUUAACUGAGAAGGCAAGGCAAUCCAUACUCAAGUAGAUGUGCGAUUUAUGAAUGACUAACGAAUCGCUUUACCUCGUCCACACUCUCAACUGGGAGACUCUUGAUUUAUAUGCAACCCUAAAAUUGUUUUCUACGUUUUUGCUUUUAAUGAAAUUUUAAGAUAUAAGGGUACUAUGUAAUGACAUUUUAACACAUAAUUUGUGCACCUUUAUUGCAUUAUCACAUCAUUAUGAAUAUUUAUUAAGUCAAUAAUACAACUGCAAGAUAGUUCAAAAUCAAAUCUAUUAUGACAUAUUAACUAAGAAUAUUACAUCAAUCACUAUUCACUACAAACUAGAUGUACAACUUGGAUAUUAAUAUGAAUUGGUCCAUUAUGGUGCGUACUAACAUAAUUUAGGGUCCUAACACAGUUCUACAAAAAUUUAAUCUAUCAGAUAAUUAUCCCACAGUUUCUGGCGGAUAACACUAUGUCAGAAAUUCGGACGGCAUCUCACAUGCUGUCUUUUUUUUUUUUUUUCUCCCACGAGGUAGAUUUCAAAGUGGAUUCUCCAUUCCGACACUUGUGUCCAAAAUCCAAAUAAUCGUUGUCAUGUCAAAGUUUGUGUGUACCCUCCACGGCUCCACCCAUUAAACUUUUUAUUUGAACCUGAAAAAUAUAAAUAUUCAAAUUUUGAAUAAAAAGGUGCUUUAUAUGUUUGAAAAGUUUUAAAAUAGAAUGAAAAGGUGAAUCUGAUCCAGAAAGACAUGUGUUAUAUGUUUGAAAAGGUAUUUUGGGGGGUACUGACACUUGUUCAAAGGUUAGUGUGUUGAAAAGGUGCAAUUGUUUGGAGUUUGGACUGGUGCCUGAUCAAGUGCAAGUGCCUGAUAUAGUGUAUCUAUAAUAGAUCGUGUCCUACAACUUUUAUUUUCACAUCCAUGUCAACAGAAACCAAGUACUCAGAAAACAUUGUUGUUUAUAAUUUAUUUUUAUGUGGUGCACCCCAGUAGCACUUUGUCUGCAAACACUUGUCCAGACGACCCUACCUUCUCCCAUGUGUUCCUCCAACCCACUUUUAGGAUUAUAAACAAAAACGAUUAUAUUUCAAACAUUACUAUUUAUUUAUAUGCUCCAAACAUCUAAACCAAACCAAAACGAUUCCAGGCUAGAAAAAUAAAUGUAGACGUACACCAUCACAUUACUACUUAGUAGGGUAAAUAUUUAAACAUAAUGCAUCAAAGGUACAUAUUACAGGGAGUCCAUAAACAAAAGAUAGCCUAGCUCAGAAUCUGGCUGCAUGAUCCAAUAAUCAUACUGCAUCUCAUAUAAAGCUCUAGCUAGAAAUAACCUAUCAUCCAAUAUGUACAGUACAAGAUGUACCAUCCACUAAAGAGCUAAAAUACCAAACUUAAUAACCAUACCCAUCACUUCACUAAUCGGAGUCGCUCGACACAAUUACCUCAGGUUCUUGCACAUGCACUGGAUUGAUCAAAUUAAAUCCGGGGGGGGGGGGGGAAGGGGGGGCAUCCUCCUCUCAUCGUUGUUGUUACACAUAUCAAUAACUCCAUCAUCUGGGAGAAAUUCUUCUUCAUCACCACCAGCUCUACUAAUCCGGAUCACCCAGGUCGUGAAGUCAAUACCCCAACCCCUCAGCUCAAACCCUACAUAGUCGCCAAUUUGCAAGUUAUUAUAUAUCUUCCACAAUUGUCCUCCAUAGUCCAUGGUGAAUAGCAUAGUGGCGAUGGUGGUCAUAUACCCUCCGUCCAAUCCAGCGUCCACCGUGCUCACGAAGCAUUUCUAAGAUCUUUGCACGUCUAAGUCUCCACUUAAACUGAGCUGGAAAUGACUGCAUUAUCGGGAAUUGACAAGUACCCAACAUUAAUCGUAAAAACUUGUAAUUUUUUCUUAAAUAUAGAAAUUAAGAUUACUAACUGAUGAAAACUUACAAAUCGUUGGGGCCGCUGGACAUGAUAAUCCUUAAGAACCCUGGUAAACCACUGAGCAUUGGGCACACGUUGUUGUAGCGGAGGGGCAUCCAUCUGAAUAACAAGUCCAACCAUAACAAAAAAUAAACACAAAUUUAAUUUUCAUUUUCAUUGGUGGUAAAUCUUGUCGUAGAACGACAAGUAGGUUCAAUUACAAGAAAAUAGUAGAACACACCAAUUAUAUGGAAGCACACCACGUCAUAAACUGAUAAGGCUAUUCAAUUCUUGAAUAUUGUCUACAUAACAUUCAUUCACUUUUGUCUUAUAACUUUCAAUUACUGAUGAUGUCUAUCUCAUACAUACUUUUAGGAAUUCCUACAAGUUCAAAGUCACAUUUUGAAUUGUCUUCUUGAUAAUCUGUUCCCCGCCAUUAACAACAACAUUAACCAUAAUAACCAUUUUCUUCUCAAUAACACUACCAAAUAAAAUCAAUUUGUAGGAGAUAAACUAAAUCUACUAACAUGCAAACCAAUUUUAACCCUAACCCUAAACGUCUAGCACCAAUUUUCUCAAAUAUGGCUGCAAUGAAAAACAAAAUUGAAAAUGUUGACACCAAAUCCUGAUAUGAUUAGACAAGGCUAAACUGUCGAGUUAUGCAACAAAGUAGGGUCGAAUUCCCAACUUAUGCAACAAACUAAAUUAGGUUUAAAAUCAUCAGCAAACUUUUAUGUUUUCCCAAUUUAUGCAAUGCCGUCAACUGAAAUCUAACAGCCGUUAUCUUUUUGCUGACUGGAAGAUUUUUAAUAUUAAAAAAUAUUUUUUCUUAAAAGAGAGGUAAGGGUACCUUAGUGUCGGAGGGAAGGAGAAGUGGAGAACAGAGCACUAGUAGUAGAAAGAUAGGGUUAUACUGUUACUAUCUUCUUGUCUUGUUUUAAGGUAAGAAGAUGGAUUGGUGGUGUAAUAAUUGAUCAAACUUUUGAUGAGAGGGCUAAAUUUGGUAUUUUGUUUACCUAUUUUGGUGGGGCGAGAAGAUAAGGCAAGUAGCAGUUGAAAAACUACAAAUAGUGCUAGUAUAACAAAUGUGAAUUCAAACAAGCAAAUAAACAAUACGCAGAAAGUAAAUAACACACAGAGAUUUUUAACGUGGUAAAACCCAAACAGGGAAACGUCCACGGUUGUCCUCGCGACAACAAAAUAAUCCACUAGAUGAAAAGAGAUGUACAAACCUAUCAACUACCUGCACUCACUGCGAGUUGAUACUCCUGGUUAUCUCUAACACCUUGACUUCACCAGAGCACCUUGAUGUACGCACAAGACACUCGACUUCUUGAUGAACACACAAGAAGACUCGAAGCCGAAUUCACAAUAACUCUUGAAGAUCACAAAGAUAUGAAUUGGGAAAAGGGGGAAGAAAGGGAAUUGAGUUCAAUAGCCACAAACAAGGUUAAUACCAAAAACCUAACCAAAACACAUGAACAAGAAGAAGGAUGGACGGCCAAAGAACUAUCUUGUUCUGUAGAAGAGAAACCCUAUUUAUACUUAGGGUUGAAAAACUAGGAAAAUGGGCCGAAACUGUGCAAACCGACUUUGGACGUUCGUACGUCGAUAUGACGUUCGAACGUCGCCACACAAAAAUAAGCCUGCUGCCUAACAUGACGUACGAACGCUCUAAACACGUACGUACGUCUCCAUACGAAAACAUGUCUGCUGACUACCUGGACGUACGAACGUCCUAAUUGAGUACGUACGUCCUGACCAAAAUAAGUUCGCUGCUUCAGUGAACGUACGUACGUCCUAACUCGGUACGUACGUCCAGAACCCAAUAACUUUCCCUAGACUGACCUAAGAGACACAAGGACACGAGACGACCAUGCGUACAUCUUGGUUUUCCUAACAAUGAAUUCAAGGCGAGAUAACCAAAGACACUUUGUCACAAAAUUGAUGUCAAACCACUUCAUGCCGGUUUCAAUCUCCCCCUUUGACAUUGAUUUUGUGACAAAAACCUAUGACUCUAAUAGCACUUAUAAAACGUGCUUACAAUCCCAAACCAUGGCAUUUAUAAAACAUGCCUACAAAAACACUCAAAAUAGAAACACAUAAAGAGUCACCAAUUCUUG